RNAcentral lists this long non-coding RNA (85910 nucleotides) under Brassica napus (rape). RNAcentral's name for it is "long non-coding RNA (BNAP_LNC007596)". Lineage: Eukaryota; Viridiplantae; Streptophyta; Magnoliopsida; Brassicales; Brassicaceae. The record is from RNAcentral.
AGAAGCAGAGGAAAGCAAAUGAAUAGAUUCAUCAAAUCUUGUAGUGUUAUUUCCGCACCGGCCUUAUUAACAGAAUCUCGAUCUUAUAAACUGGCCAUCUUGGGAGGUUUGUGAUCUUGUCGAGUGAUCUUAUAUGGGUUGACUCUCGUUUCUCUUCUUGAUAAAGUCCAAGAGAAAAAGGUCUUCCAAAAUCGAUAGGCUGGGAAUUUGAUCCUCUCUCAUAAAGGCGCACACCGAUGAUUAGAAGAUGUAUCUACAAGUGCCCAAAAAAAUUGAGAUUCAAUACAACAAGCAGUUUAAAGAACUGAUUGAAAAUGUACACCUCCUACAGAAGAUUAACCAUACGUAAUGCAAACUGAAAUUAGUGAUUGUGAAAAUUUAGAAACCAAAAAAGAGACAGCUUCAAUUUUGUACAAGAACAGUUCUUAGGUUUUUAGGUAAACUUGUGAAUGAGGAAGAGAGUAAGUUGUUAACUUGUUUAUUUUUUUUAUAUAUUGUAUUCAAUUAAAUCUUUUGAUACUAAUGAGUAAUAACGUUUGGUGCCUAUUACGGUAACAACCCGGAUUUAAUGCUUAUUUACCGGGAUUUAUCGCACCACUUUGAUUCUCUAAUUAAUUUCUUAUACUCCUUUGUAAAAUUAAAUCUUUGGGUACUAAUGAGUAAUGACCGAUAAUCUUUGGAUAUCAAUGACCGAAGAGUAAUGACAGUUGGUGCUUAUUUCGUCCGUCUUUCUUCAACUACUAAAUUGUAUACUCUCCUAAAAUUGAAAACUGUUUCUCUAGUUAAAAAUUCCAGUAAGAAUUUUUUUCUGAGAAAGGGCUAAAAAUUCCAGUAAGAAUUAUUUUCUUAUUUCCCAUACAAACAUAAUCCUUCUUUAACUUGGCAUCACUAAAUUUAUAUCUCUCCAUUGCCAUUUUAUUUAUUUUGUUUCCAUAACAUAGGUUUGCUAACACUUCCAUUUAAUUUUAUAUAACUAUAUUACAUAAACGACAAUGAAUAUUACUAAAAGAUCUAUGUCACGAUUGUUACGAAAUCUCUUUUUGUCAUAGUUAUGUUACUAAUUGUGACGAAAAUUAACUACGGCUUAGAUCGUCACAAUAUCAUGACUAAACAGUUGCUAUUUUAUGACUACAACUUCUUAAUCACAUUAAUGUCUCUAGAAUGUCACAGUUUGUGACGAAAAUUAACUACGGCUUAGAUUGUCACAAUAUUGUGACUAAACAGUUACUAUCAUAUGACUGAAAAAUUUAGUCACAUUAAUGUCUCUAGAAUGUCGCAGAUUUGUGACAAAACAAAAAAAGAGGGCUAUUGUGACAGAAUUUUGAGACAAAAAAAGAGGGCUAUUGUCACUACAAAAUGGGGGCAAACGAGAGUAAACUCCUUCAUUAUGUAUAUGAUUUUCUUAAGAAAAUGUAUUAGGCAAUUAGAUUGUCAUAAUGGGUCAUGUUGGGCUCUUUCUCCUUCUUUAACAAUGCCACUCAAUUGGCCUGUAUUUUUAUUUCUCCUUUAUUUAUCUAAUAGUAAACCAAGGAGUGGUUCGUUUCACAAUUUGUCAUUUCCAUCUAGCCGAUCCAUUUGUAAGAUCCAUCCAGGUGAUCCAUUCAAAUUUUGUGGGACUGUUUGUUUGUCCAUCCAGAUGGUUCAUCUAGAUGAAUUAUCAGAAAUGAUUUAUGUUAGUUUCUUUAUUUCUAUUUCCAUCCAUAUGAAUUUAGUAUACAAAUUACUAAUAUACACUUGUUUUGAUUUAAUCAUAUGUUUGAUAAUUUUAACUAUAUUGACUUUUAUUAUUUAGUAAUAUAUUUACAUUGAAACUAUUUUAAAAUUAGGUUUUCAGGUUUUUUCGGGAAAAGUAAAAUUUUCAAUUUUUGAGGAAAAAAAAUGAAAUUUCGGUUUUAGUAGAAAACACAAUUUUUUUUGAAAACACAAUUUUGUAUGUUGACGGGAAAAUGAAUUUUUCAGUUUUUUGCGGGAAAUAACACUUUCUGGUUUUGGCGGGAAAAUAUGAUUUUCCGGCAGCAAAAUAUGAUUUUCGGCGGAAAAUGAGUUUUUUAGGUUUUUGCGGAAAAUUCAUUUUUUGGUAUUGGCGGGAAAACACGAUUUUGAUUUUUGCGGGAAACAAGAUUGUUCGCUUUUAGCGGGAAAAUGUGUUUUUUUUUUGUUUUGGCGGAAAACACAAUUUUUUUGGUUUUGCGAAAAUGUUAUUUUCGGUUUUGGUGGAAACGCAUUUUUUUUGUUUUCACGGGGAAACACGAUUUUUAUCGGUUUUUGCAAAAAAUGAGAUUUUUUUUAGUUUUAGCCGAAAACGCAAUUUUUGGUUUUUGCGGACACAAGACUUUUUCGGUUUUUGAGGGAAUGUAAUUUUCCAAUUUUGACGAUAAAACGUUUUUUUUUGUUUCGAGGGAAAGCGACAUUUUUUUUUGCGGAAAACAAGAUUUUCGAUUUUUGAAGGAAACCAUGAUUUUUUUUUUGUUUUGGCAGGAAAACACAAUUUUUUGUUUUGGCGUGAAAAUGUGUUUUUCGGUUUUGGCACGAAAAUGCUAUUUUUGUUUUUGUAGAAACAUGAGAUUUUUGGUUUUUUCUGGCAAACAAUAUUAUCUGAUUUAGAGAAAAAAAUGAGAUUUUCCUAUUUUGACGAGAAAAUUUUUUUUUUUGCUUUGGCGGAUAUUUUCGGAUUGGGUGGGAAAGUGCCAUUUUCGGUUUGAUAUGAAAACGAGAGUUUUUAGUUUUGAUGGGAAAAAGUUUUGUGGAAAAACAAAUUUUAUUGUUUUUGCUGGAAAAAGAAAUUUUUGGUAUUGGCGAGAAAAAAUACGACUUUUCGUUUUUAUAGGAAAAAUAUUUUUUGUGUGGUUUUGGCGAAAAUAUACAUUUUUACGGUUUUGUCGUUUUUUCGGGACUGGCAAAAUGAUCUUAGGGUUAGGUUUGUGAUUUGUCAAUUAUAUUAGCGUAUAAUUGACAUUAUCACAUUUUGGUAAAAAAAAUAUUUAAUUAUAUUUGUAUAUAUAAGAUUUAUAUAUAUAUGUAGACGUUUCUAUAUUUCACACUCAGACGGUGUUGCUUGACCGUUGUUUCAAGACGGAUUUAUGAAAGCGCGUAUUGGUCACGAUCAUGAGGAUGGCCAGUUGAACAUGUUACCUCUCGUUUCCUCUCUUUUUAUGUCGCGAUCAGGAAGUCAUGUUUAGACUUUUUCUUCGACGUGUUAUAUUAUAUAUGUCUAAGUCUUCGUUUUUAUCUUAUAAUUUUGGAUGAAGAAAUACAAACCAAAGACUUUUCCUCCAUUGAAAAGUAGCGAACCAAUCAAUCAGCCUUAUGGUUAGUAGUACCACUAACUUAGUAGUAUAUAAACAGAUGAUGGGUAUGAAUAUGUGAUCUUAUAAAUCCUCACCUUCAUUUCCAAAACCAAUAUCCAAAAGUUUUUCAUUUUUUUUCUUUCUUUCUUGUAAACCAUGGGUCUAUUUUCGUUUUGGAAACUUCUAAAGGAGGUGGUGGGUAUGUUAAACGAAUCCCGCAAACUCUUUCUCAAGAACAAGAAGCUGAUGUUCUCUGUCUUUGUAUUUUAUCUCGUGCUCAAUGGUUUACUUUACUUAUUCAACGUCCUUACUAUUACACCCGAGAUAACAAACUUGACUCAAGAUUUAAAUUUGUUACCUACGAUGGAUCCUAGCAGCCCGGAAUACAUGGCCCAACUUAUGAAGGUCUUUGCAGAUUUUCGCCUAUUUGUCGUUUCUUCAGACAUCUUUAACGCUGUCUCCUUCAUCAUCAACAUAUUAUCCGUUCUAGUCAUCGUCCACGCUUCAGCUCUUACUUAUAAAAAGGAGAACGUCAAGUUCAAAGAUUUUGUGGUUCUAAUUCUUAAAUCUUGGAAGGGACCUCUUGUGACCUCUUUCUACAUUUCUCUCUUUAGUCUUGGCUAUUGCUUGUUCUUCCUUAUAAUCAUUUUUCCUAUUCUUUUGUCAUCUUUGAGUAUUGCUUCCUUGUUUUCCUUGGUAUCCAAGAUUUCCGUUUUACUCGUUCUGUUCUUAUUGUUUGCGUCUUAUUUAGCUACUGUCUGGUACCUAUCUAUUGUCAUAUCAGUACUGGAGGAAACUUAUGGGAUACAAGCUUUGGGAGAAGCUGCAAAGAUUGUUAAAGGGAUGAAGCCAAAACUAUUCCUCUUGAAUAUUUUCUACGGUUUAUUGAUCUUUGGUUUAGCUCAGAUCGUGGCUCUAGUGAGUCUAGCGGUCGAUAGGAGCCAGUCAUUUGCGGUUACCUUAGCCACCGGUUUGUAUCUAGCGGUGUUAACAUUUGUGGCGAUGUUUUUACUUAUGACUUACACCGUUGCAUAUUUCCAAUGUAAGAGCCCCCACGGCGAAGACGUUGAGAGGCUGCGGGAUGUUGAGUAUACGACACUACCCACUACUUCGCUUAUAGGAGCAUGAGCAUUGCCUUGAAAUCUUUAAAGAGACGGACAUAAAAUGGUAUAGUCGCAUGGAUGGAUUGUUUGCUUUGGGAUUUGGUAGACCACUGUAAUAAAUAAUAAUCAAUGGUUUGGUUGAUAAUAAUAAUAGUAAUAAUAAUAAAUAUUUUACUUCUUUUAUACCGUUUAUGCCGCAUAUGAUAUCCAUUAGAAACUCAUAAUCCCAAUAUUACAAUCAAAUUUUAUUUAAAUUGUAGAACAAAUAAAAAUCAUAGCGAAUUUUUAUGACAACAAUACCAUUGCAUGUUUCACUAAUCUUGCAGGAUUUGCUAAAUUAAUAAAUGAGUUAAAAAUGUAAACCACUAAAUAGUUAUCUGUUUUGAAUAACUGAAUGAACUAAACCAAGUAUGAAAAUUCUAUCCAGAAUAAGAUCUGUUGCACAGACAGAUUCAAAUUGGAACAAGGGGCCCAAUAGUCGUAUUAUUUUAUACGAGGCUAAAAUUACAUUUGAAAGAUCUAUAAGGACCAAAAACGAAUUUUAAUAAAAAAAUGUUAUAAAGAGCGUAUCUCUCCUCUCCGUCAGUCUCUCUAGGGUUUAACUUGAUCUUUUUCCCCCGAAGCGUCGAGAGAGAGAAAUCAAACGUCGGCAGGCAGCGAUGGCGAGCACCAAAGUUCAGAGGAUUAUGACCCAACCUAUCGUACGUUACUCUUCUCUCUCUUUGAUUUCGAUUUUGAUUUACUUUCUGUCUGUUAAUUGACUGAGUUUCGCUUUGUUUUCCGGCGGCGGAUCCAGAACUUGAUUUUUAGGUUUCUUCAAAGUGUAAGCUCCUUCUUGACUUUUGCUUUACUUGGAGAAGCAUUGAUUUGCGUGGUUCUGAUUCGUGGUUUCGUUAAAUGAUGCAGAAAGCUAGGAUCCAGAUUUGGCUAUUUGAGCAGAAAGAUCUGAGGAUUGAAGGAAGGAUUACUGUAAGUUUUCACUUUGCUUGUUGAAUUUGUUAGUAAUGGAGCUAUGAAUUUAUGAGAUUCAUCGCGCUUAGUUUAUUUGAAAAUCGAGUUUUGAAUAAUGUAUACCUUGUUGCAAAUUUUAUUGAUAUCCUUUGAUUCUUCUCAAGUUAUAACUUAAUAUGUUCUUUAGGGUUGAUUAAGUUAAAGAUUGAAUCUUUUCUUGGACUUUGUGCUCUUUCAGAGAAACUUAAGAUGUUGAUUGUCAUUCUCAUUCCCUUUAAACUUGGAGUUGUCUGCUUUUUAUGUUCCUCGUUUUACUUCUUGGUUUAAGGUUAAAGUUUUCUUUUUACCAAAAAAAAAGGGUGGAAGUUUUCUUCUGAGUGUUUUUGAUUGUGUCAUUCUCAUUGAAUUAAAACUUGAAGUUGCUUACUUGACUUUGGAUAUCCCUUUGAAAGCAUUUUUUUUAUUGCUAUACUUUUAUUAUUCUGAGUUGUUAUAGAGAUUCAAGAUUUUCUUAAAUUGACUCUGUGCUAGUUCAGAGAAACUUGAGAUAAAUGAUGUUGUCAUCCUCAUUGUUUUAAAAAGUAAACAUACUUGACUUUGGAUGUUCCUUGUUUCAAUUUGUAUUGCUUUCCUUUGAUUCUUCUCGAGUUAUAAAUGAAGCUAUUCUCUAGGGUUGAUUCUGUGUUAAUUCAGAGAAAUGUGACAUAGAUGAUUGUGUCAUUGUUAUUACUUGAUUAUGUAGUUGCCUACUUUCACUUGGAUACAGUAUUUUAUUCUCUUGAGUUAAAGACUGAAUCUUUUUUUAGACUAUGUGCUCAUUCAGAGAAACUUAACAUGUAUGAUUGUCAUUCUCAUUCUCCUAAAACUUGGAGUUGUCUACUUUGUAUGUUCCUCGUUUCAUUCUUCUCGGGUUAAGGCUAAAGUUUUCUUCGGAUUGUCUUUUUUUCUUUCUUUCGAGGUGUCUUUAGAUUUGUGAUUAUAUCAUUCUCAUUGGUUUAAAAGAUUGAGUUGCGUAAUUGAUUUUGUAUAUCCCUUUGAAAUCAUUUUUUAUUCCUAUACUUUUAUUAUUCCGAGUUAUAGAUAUUCAACCCUUUCUUAAAUUGACUCUGUGCUAGUUAAGAGAAACUUGAGAUAAAUGAUGUCGGCAUCCUCAUUGGUUUAAAUCUUAAACAUACCUGACUUUAGAUGUUCCUUUACAAUUUUGUAUCGCUAUACUUGUUUCCCACAUAUCUAUGUUAGUUCGGACAAAUUUGAGAUCAUGACAUUCUGGUUGAUUCCUUGUUUCAAUUUCUCUCCUUUUAACAGGGUUUUGACGAGUACAUGAACCUAGUGUUGGAUGAAGCUGAAGAAGUGAGCAUCAAGAAGAACACCAGGAAACCACUUGGUGAGGACUCACUCUUUGACAACAAGUCUCUGAUUUGAUUUGUUUGCUUUUGGUUCAGUAACUCGAAUGUAAAUGCCUAUUUGCAGGAAGGAUUCUACUCAAAGGAGACAACAUAACUCUGAUGAUGAACACGUAAGUAAACACAAUCUCUACUUUGUCCUUUCUCUUUUUUUCAUGUCGCAACUUGUUCAAGAAACUGAAAACACAAUCAUCCAUUUCUAUGUUGACAGGGGAAAGUAAUGUCUGUUCUCAACAAACUAUCUCGAGGAUUAGUGGAUCGGUUUUUACUAUCUCCAAAUCUUUUGCUAAAUAUAUGUUGAGUUAAGUUCUUCUUCAGUUAACUGAUAAUGCCUUCUUCUCUUCAUGAUCGUGUAAUAUUGCGAUGUAGUGACAAGUUUGAAAAAUUAUGGAACUUGGUUGAAUCUUAUGGACGUAAUAUUGUCAUAGGUUUUCAAAAAAAAAAGUGGAGUUUUUAUAUUACAGUUUACUAAAAACGAUAUUUGUUGCAACUUUUUUUCAGACAAAAAUAACCAGUUUGAUUUAAAUUAAAAUAUGGUGUCUUGAUUUGUAUAAUUUUAUGUUUGGUAACCGCCUAGAACCCAAAACUAUAAUUAACAUAGAAAAUUAUAAUAUUACAAUCAGUAUAAAAUGCGGUCUGUACUUUAAAUUAAAUUGAUGCCAGUACCGUAAAACCUUAACACGACUAAAGUUAGCUACACCAAUCAGAAUAAUAUGUGAAAAAAUAGUGAUGGUUAUCGUUUAAAGGUGUUGUGUAAAGUUAACAUAGAAAUAAAGAAAUCUGUGAGCGUCCGUGCCGUCGCCGGAGUCCAUUUUCUUUUGGUUAAAAACGUUCCCCGGCUUCUUUUUCACCUUCUCUUCCUGUUCGUUUUGUCGGAGCUCUGUCCAGUUCCCAUCCGGGGUGGUCAACUCGGGGAGUGAACAGACACACGUGGUGGCGCGGUGGCUGGAGUAACGAUGCGACUGGGUUAAGGGUGAGGUGGGGUGAGGUCGGUUUGUCAGAUUAGGUUUUCCCGGGAGGUGGAGGCUUCUACAGAUCCACCGCCGCCGGUCUAGUUUCCGGGAGGCGGAGGCUUCGUUAGCUCCGCUUUCGCCGGCUCCAGUUUCCGGGGGGUGAAGGUGUUCUUUGCCUUGCGCCGCCGGCUUUUAGUCUCCUAGGGUUGUUAGGGUUUGUUUUUUAUCCUUGGUUUUUGCGGUUUCGGUUUGGUCUAGUUGGAGGAGUUCUCGUCGGAAGACGAUCGAAGAAAUGCCUAUUUGCAGGAAGGAUUCUACUCAAAGGAGACAACAUAACUCUGAUGAUGAACACGUAAGUAAACACAAUCUCUACUUUGUCCUUUCUCUUUUUUUCAUGUCGCAACUUGUUCAAGAAACUGAAAACACAAUCAUCCAUUUCUAUGUUGACAGGGGAAAGUAAUGUCUGUUCUCAACAAACUAUCUCGAGGAUUAGUGGAUCGGUUUUUACUAUCUCCAAAUCUUUUGCUAAAUAUAUGUUGAGUUAAGUUCUUCUUCAGUUAACUGAUAAUGCCUUCUUCUCUUCAUGAUCGUGUAAUAUUGCGAUGUAGUGACAAGUUUGAAAAAUUAUGGAACUUGGUUGAAUCUUAUGGACGUAAUAUUGUCAUAGGUUUUCAAAAAAAAAAGUGGAGUUUUUAUAUUACAGUUUACUAAAAACGAUAUUUGUUGCAACUUUUUUUCAGACAAAAAUAACCAGUUUGAUUUAAAUUAAAAUAUGGUGUCUUGAUUUGUAUAAUUUUAUGUUUGGUAACCGCCUAGAACCCAAAACUAUAAUUAACAUAGAAAAUUAUAAUAUUACAAUCAGUAUAAAAUGCGGUCUGUACUUUAAAUUAAAUUGAUGCCAGUACCGUAAAACCUUAACACGACUAAAGUUAGCUACACCAAUCAGAAUAAUAUGUGAAAAAAUAGUGAUGGUUAUCGUUUAAAGGUGUUGUGUAAAGUUAACAUAGAAAUAAAGAAAUCUGUGAGCGUCCGUGCCGUCGCCGGAGUCCAUUUUCUUUUGGUUAAAAACGUUCCCCGGCUUCUUUUUCACCUUCUCUUCCUGUUCGUUUUGUCGGAGCUCUGUCCAGUUCCCAUCCGGGGUGGUCAACUCGGGGAGUGAACAGACACACGUGGUGGCGCGGUGGCUGGAGUAACGAUGCGACUGGGUUAAGGGUGAGGUGGGGUGAGGUCGGUUUGUCAGAUUAGGUUUUCCCGGGAGGUGGAGGCUUCUACAGAUCCACUGCCGCCGGUCUAGUUUCCGGGAGGCGGAGGCUUCGUUAGCUCCGCUUUCGCCGGCUCCAGUUUCCGGGGGGUGAAGGUGUUCUUUGCCUUGCACCGCCGGCUUUUAGUCUCCUAGGGUUGUUAGGGUUUGUUUUUUAUCCUUGGUUUUUGCGGUUUCGGUUUGGUCUAGUUGGAGGAGUUCUCGUCGGAAGACGAUCGAAGCUAUCCGAUGUUGAAGGUUUGGUUGUGCCGGCGAAGCUUCCUCCCAGUUCCGGCGACGAAAGGAGACGGAUGAGAUCUCGGAUUACCGAUUGACUCUCUCCACUAUUGGGAACUCGCGGUUGGAAGCGGUUGCGGCGUUGAAGUUUGGAAGUCAGUGAGUGUCGGUUCUGCCGGUGGAUCGCUGGGUUGAUCACCGGUGGUGGCUGGAAGCGGGGGCACGCUGUGAGCGAACGGCGACGCCGUUUUUAGUUUCUCUCUAGGGUUUCGUUUUGGUAGGCCUUGGGCCUUUGUUUGUAAUUCUGGGCUUGGCCCAUUAAGUUAUAAAAUCAUCUAUUGACGGAAAAAAAAAAAAAAUAAAGAAAUCUGUGAACCUAAUCGUUUACCAUUGCAAUUAGAUCUUUAAAUUCAUGUAAUCUACAUUAUAAAACCACAUCAAAUCUUAUCUCCGGUCAUAUAGUGAUGUGUUUUGUACUUUUGCACUUAUUAUAAUCGUAUACAAAAAUCAAAUAAUUAGUCUUUAAUACAAACUCCAAAGUCCCAUUAAACUUUAUAUUCUCAACUUUAGAAUGUAGCAUGUGCUAAAAAUACAUACAGUAGCCGCCGGGCCAACAAUGUCUACUACCAUUAAAUUAAACAAACAAUAAAGUGGUGGCAAUACAAGCCUACGGUGGUCUCGCCCGCACCGGAUACUCAUCUUAAGCUUCGAAUGGUAAUCAUCAUCCUGACUUAUCCCGCAGUUAACAGUAACAAAAAUCUCUAUAUAUAUAUUAUAUAUCUAUACAUUUUUAUAACUGUUAAAACCACACUGCAGUUAAACUGCUUGUUCCGCACCGCUUAAACCGCAGUAACCAUUCGAAGCUUUACUAAAACCAGUCAAAGCACUCGACUAAUGACAGACCAAGACAAGUAGUUGAAGAAAUUAAUUACGACACAACACAGCUUCGGAUCUUCUCUCUCCUAUCCAAAACCAAACACCAUUUCUGAGGUAAUUUUUUUCUCUCUCCUUGAAAUCGAAUUUCAGUUUCUCUCUUCACGUUUGUAAAGUAGCUCAAAGUGAAAAUCUGCGUUCGAUUUGCUGUGGUAAUUGUUGGAUUUGGAGGGGAGAAUCGAGAGCUUUGUGAUUCCUUAUCAUUGGGUUUGAGAUUGGUGAAGUGUCUUUGCUUGUCUCAGUCUUACAGAUCGAUAGCUUUUGGAGAUUUUAGCUGAGGAGAAAAAUGCAUACGAGGUAUAUGGAGAGGACUAAUAGUAUGAGAGAAAAGAGAAAACUUGAGGAAGAAGAUGAUAAUAACAAUCAGCAGCCUGAGCGUAAAAGGCCCGCUCUUGCAAGGUAAUCUAUGUUCAUACUUGUAUCAGUUACAAACCCUUUACUUUGUUUUGUUUCUAAAUUGAUUGAAACGGUAGUGCCUUUAUAACUGUGUAUGAUUCUUUCAGUGUGAUUGUGGAAGCCCUGAAGAUGGAUAGUUUACAGAGGCUUUGCUCUUCUUUGGAACCCAUUCUUCGCCGAGUGGUAAGCCUUUUCUCAUGUCUUUUGUUGAUUUGUGGUGUCUAUUGAGCCUCUCUUGUCAAACAGGUAAGUGAAGAGGUGGAGCGAGCAUUGGCGAAACUAGGCCCUGCAAGAGUUAGUGAGAGGUAAUAAACACAUGACAUUUCUAAGGGAAAAUGGUUAGAGAGUAAUGAUUUGAGUUUUACAGGUCUUCUCCUAAACGUAUCGAAGGCAUUGGUGGAAGAAACUUACAGCUACAGUUCAGGUCUAGAUUGUCUGUUCCUUUAUUCACCGGAGGGAAGAUAGAAGGAGAGCAAGGCGCCGCCAUCCACGUUGUACUUCUAGAUUCCACAACAGGACGUGUACUGACAACAGGACCCGAAGCUUCUGCUAAGCUCGAUGUUGUUGUGCUCGACGGUGAUUUCAACAACGAAGACGAUGAAGGCUGGAGUGAAGAAGAGUUCGAAAGUCAUUUGGUGAAAGAGCGUCAAGGGAAGAGGCCUCUUUUGACCGGUGACGUGCAGGUGACGCUGAAAGAAGGCGUGGGGACGUUAGGUGAGCUUAUCUUUACGGAUAACUCGAGCUGGAUAAGGUGUAGAAAGUUUAGGCUGGGGUUGAAGGUUUCUUCUGGUUACUGUGAGGGGAUGCGUGUGCGCGAGGCGAAGACGGAAGCUUUUACAGUCAAGGACCAUCGUGGAGAGUGUAAGUUGUUGUUUCACAUUGAGGCAAAAGACUAUUCUUGUUUUUGGCCUAAUGGUUUAUUCAUGUACAGUGUACAAGAAACAUUAUCCACCUGCGUUGGAUGAUGAGGUGUGGAGGCUGGAGAAGAUUGGAAAAGACGGAGCUUUCCAUAAGAAACUGAACAAAGCAGGGAUCUACAAUGUUAAAGAGUUCUUGCGUCUUAUGGUCAAGGAUGCUCAGAAGCUAAGGACUGUAAGUGCAUUAUCUUAUCAAAGAUGUUUGAAGUAUUUAUCAUGAUAAUGAUUAUUACUAUCUUUUUCAGAUUCUUGGGAGUGGGAUGUCAAAUAGGAUGUGGGAGACACUUGCUGAGCAUUCAAAGACAUGCGUCUUGAGUGAAAUGCUUUAUGUGUACUAUCCUGAGGACUCGGUUGGUGUUGUUUUCAACAAUAUUUAUGAAUUUAGUGGUCUCAUCUCUGGGAAGCAGUAUUAUCCUGCUGAUUCUCUUUCUGACAGCCAAAAGGUUUGUGUUUGAGCACUUGUUCUUCUAUCCUAUACUUGGUAAAUAGUAACAUGUUGAGAUAUAUAACUUAGGUUUAUGUGGAUGGAUUGGUGAGGAAAGCAUAUGAAAACUGGGAUCAAGUUAUUGAGUAUGACAGCAAGUCACUUAUGAACUUCAAUCAAGUUAACAAAGUGGAUGCUUUGGAUUACUCUAUGCCAGUUUCUGUUCCAAGCCAACCCUCUACAUCUUAUUCUGGUGAAGGUAGAGAUCCAUUAGCCACUAAUCUUUUUUUUUCUUUUCUUUUUUUGACCAAAGGGUCAUUAGCUCAGGACCAUGACCAUUGUGUCAGACGUCCCUAGUUCGAGUGACCGCUGGGACGAAACUAAUAGGGCUUCGUCCCGAACCUUUAUUCAUAAAAUAAAAUUAUUUUUCUUUUGGUGUCAAACCAAAGUUACAGUGUCAUUCAUUUUUUCUUUUUCAGCAUCAGUGUACAGCCAGAGUCAGGGUACAAGCUUCCCGGCUCAGUCUCAGUUAGCUGAUACUACUUCUUACAUGCACUUUGGAAACAGUUCAUAUGCACCACCGCAAGACCAGCUGAUUAACAACACUCAUGAAUCACAAAUCAUGAUCAAUAGCAAUGGCGGUGAGAGACUGGCCCUAGGUCUUUGUUUUGUUUCUAAAUUGAUUGAAACGGUAGUGCCUUUAUAACUGUGUAUGAUUCUUUCAGUGUGAUUGUGGAAGCCCUGAAGAUGGAUAGUUUACAGAGGCUUUGCUCUUCUUUGGAACCCAUUCUUCGCCGAGUGGUAAGCCUUUUCUCAUGUCUUUUGUUGAUUUGUGGUGUCUAUUGAGCCUCUCUUGUCAAACAGGUAAGUGAAGAGGUGGAGCGAGCAUUGGCGAAACUAGGCCCUGCAAGAGUUAGUGAGAGGUAAUAAACACAUGACAUUUCUAAGGGAAAAUGGUUAGAGAGUAAUGAUUUGAGUUUUACAGGUCUUCUCCUAAACGUAUCGAAGGCAUUGGUGGAAGAAACUUACAGCUACAGUUCAGGUCUAGAUUGUCUGUUCCUUUAUUCACCGGAGGGAAGAUAGAAGGAGAGCAAGGCGCCGCCAUCCACGUUGUACUUCUAGAUUCCACAACAGGACGUGUACUGACAACAGGACCCGAAGCUUCUGCUAAGCUCGAUGUUGUUGUGCUCGACGGUGAUUUCAACAACGAAGACGAUGAAGGCUGGAGUGAAGAAGAGUUCGAAAGUCAUUUGGUGAAAGAGCGUCAAGGGAAGAGGCCUCUUUUGACCGGUGACGUGCAGGUGACGCUGAAAGAAGGCGUGGGGACGUUAGGUGAGCUUAUCUUUACGGAUAACUCGAGCUGGAUAAGGUGUAGAAAGUUUAGGCUGGGGUUGAAGGUUUCUUCUGGUUACUGUGAGGGGAUGCGUGUGCGCGAGGCGAAGACGGAAGCUUUUACAGUCAAGGACCAUCGUGGAGAGUGUAAGUUGUUGUUUCACAUUGAGGCAAAAGACUAUUCUUGUUUUUGGCCUAAUGGUUUAUUCAUGUACAGUGUACAAGAAACAUUAUCCACCUGCGUUGGAUGAUGAGGUGUGGAGGCUGGAGAAGAUUGGAAAAGACGGAGCUUUCCAUAAGAAACUGAACAAAGCAGGGAUCUACAAUGUUAAAGAGUUCUUGCGUCUUAUGGUCAAGGAUGCUCAGAAGCUAAGGACUGUAAGUGCAUUAUCUUAUCAAAGAUGUUUGAAGUAUUUAUCAUGAUAAUGAUUAUUACUAUCUUUUUCAGAUUCUUGGGAGUGGGAUGUCAAAUAGGAUGUGGGAGACACUUGCUGAGCAUUCAAAGACAUGCGUCUUGAGUGAAAUGCUUUAUGUGUACUAUCCUGAGGACUCGGUUGGUGUUGUUUUCAACAAUAUUUAUGAAUUUAGUGGUCUCAUCUCUGGGAAGCAGUAUUAUCCUGCUGAUUCUCUUUCUGACAGCCAAAAGGUUUGUGUUUGAGCACUUGUUCUUCUAUCCUAUACUUGGUAAAUAGUAACAUGUUGAGAUAUAUAACUUAGGUUUAUGUGGAUGGAUUGGUGAGGAAAGCAUAUGAAAACUGGGAUCAAGUUAUUGAGUAUGACAGCAAGUCACUUAUGAACUUCAAUCAAGUUAACAAAGUGGAUGCUUUGGAUUACUCUAUGCCAGUUUCUGUUCCAAGCCAACCCUCUACAUCUUAUUCUGGUGAAGGUAGAGAUCCAUUAGCCACUAAUCUUUUUUUUUCUUUUCUUUUUUUGACCAAAGGGUCAUUAGCUCAGGACCAUGACCAUUGUGUCAGACGUCCCUAGUUCGAGUGACCGCUGGGACGAAACUAAUAGGGCUUCGUCCCGAACCUUUAUUCAUAAAAUAAAAUUAUUUUUCUUUUGGUGUCAAACCAAAGUUACAGUGUCAUUCAUUUUUUCUUUUUCAGCAUCAGUGUACAGCCAGAGUCAGGGUACAAGCUUCCCGGCUCAGUCUCAGUUAGCUGAUACUACUUCUUACAUGCACUUUGGAAACAGUUCAUAUGCACCACCGCAAGACCAGCUGAUUAACAACACUCAUGAAUCACAAAUCAUGAUCAAUAGCAAUGGCGGUGAGAGACUGGCCCUAGGUCAAACAACAGGAUCGCAAAACCAGCACUUGGUUCAGCCUCCUCCUGAGGUUAACCCUUUUAAUGAUUGGUCAAACACAGGGAACAGAGGAGGAGGUGAUGGGUUUUUAUCAGAGGAGGAGAUAAGGGCAAGAAGUAAUGAAAUGCUCGAGAACGAUGAUAUGCAGCAGCUGUUGAGACUCUUUAGCAUGAGCGGUGGUGGUGGUGGUGGUGGCCCGCAAACUCCAAUGAACAUGGGGGAAGACGGGUUUGGGUUCCAAUCUUUUGGUCAGUCUUCAAUGGAUGGUUAUGGAGAAGACCGGUCGCAGCCGGGUAAGCCUGUUGUUGGAUGGCUAAAGAUCAAAGCAGCUAUGAGAUGGGGCUUCUUCAUCAGAAGGAAAGCUGCUCAGAGACGUGCGCAGAUUGUUGAACUCGAUGACGACCAAUAAGGUUACAGGAGAGUUUCUUUAUGAUGGUUGAUAUAACAGUUUCCCAGAAGAAGUAAAGUCUUUUGUGUUGGUUUCUUCUUGUGGAGCUUCUUCAUUUGUACAGUAAGAUAUUCUUCUCUCUUCCUUGCUUGUGCUUAUAAUGUAAUCUCAGUUUUCAAGAAACUAAAAACAUGUUGUAAUUCUGUUGUUGAUUCUCUCUCUGUUGUGUGUCGUUGUGCUACUUGCUUGUCAUAUUAUUUUCAUUGAACUCGAGGAACAGUGAUAAAACUAAGCUGUUUUAGGCCAUGUCUUAAGAUUUUUGAUUAAACAAUGAGGUUUUUGUUUUUUUGUCGGCAACAAUUUCAUAGCCCAGUGUCCAUUACAUUGAUAUCGGUCCGGAGAGCAGGGCCCAACAUUUCAUAUUUUUAUUGAAACUAGUAUUUUUAUAGAAAAAUUAAUUACAAAAAAUUUUAACAACCAGAUAAGUAUAUACUUUAAUUUAUCCAUCAAAUGAUUAAAAUUAGAGAAAAAGACUAGGAUAGCACCAAACUAAGUUUAUGUUCCCAAAGUAGCACUCAAGGUUCAAAGUCACAAAAAUAUGUUUCAUUAAAGAGGUAAAUAUACAUUUAUACCCCUUGAUUUAAUUAAUCCAAACCUUAGGGUUUAGAGUUCUUUUUUUCAUUUUUUUACUUUUUAUUUUAUUUAUUUUUAUUUAUUUUUGUUUGUUUAUUUAAUUUUAAACCAAAGAUAUUAGGGAUAUUUUACCCUUUAAUGAAUGUCAUUUUUGUGACUUUUCUCCUUCUAGUGCUAUUUUUUAGACAUAAACUUCAAAAGUUGCUAUUACUGACAAUUGCCCUUAAAAUUAUUCAAUUAAAAAUUUAAAAAGUAUAUAAUAUUAGUUCUGGUGUAAAAUUUUGUGUAAUUUCUACACCAAAUUUAUUGUCAUGGUUAAAAAUGAUUAGGACACAUUAAAAAUAUUUAUUAUCAGUUUUACAUUGUCUAGAUUAGUAUUUUUUUUUUAAUUUUUAUUUAUUACCUUAAUUUUUGGAUAUCAGAUACUAAUCUAUAUUUUUAAUCUAAUAUUUGUUUUGUAGUAUUAAAUAUAUAUAAAUUAAAAAUUAUAAAAUAUAACUAGAAAUCUUAUACAUAAUGAAAAAGUAUUCAUUAUAUAUCUUUCAACUAAAGAAUGAAGUUAGUGAAUAAAGAUGUUGUAAAACUUGCAUACCUAAGAAAAUAAAUUUAUAAUAUACAUAUGUAUGCAUUUAUUGGAUUGCAUAUUAAUUUUUUUUAAAUCAAUAGUUGUGAUUUUAGUUAUUUUUAAUGUAUAUUAACUUUAAUAUUUGAUUUAAUUUAUAAAUUACAUAUAUCUAGAUUUUUUAAGAUCUAUAUGGAUAACUGAUUGAACCAAAUAUUACAAAUAUUUCAUCUAUCCGAAGUACCUUCAAAGUUUUAUACAAACUAGGUUUGUGUCCGCGCUACGCGCGGAUUAUGUGGUUAUAUAAUUUUCUGUUAAAAUUCAGUAUACAUAUAUAUCAUGUUUGAUAGUUCUAUCCUUAAAAGUGCAAAGUUUGGUCUUGAAAAGGAGCUAGAAAUGUUGUCCAUUAAUAAUGUUUUGUUUAUGAUUUCUUUUGGCUUUAAGUUGGUAAAACACACCAUUCAUGUAAGUUCAAUAUUUGCACAAUUUAGAGUCAAUUAGAAUUGGACAUUUUGAAUAUAACUAAAGUUUUUGUUACUGUAUACGAUGAACUUUUGUUUUUAGAUAAUAUUCAUGAAUUGCCUCAAAAUAUGUUCAUUAAUAAAAAAUCUGGUUCUAAUGUUAACUCUUGUAGGCUGCACCGCGUGCUUUGUCCAAACUUUAAUAUUAAACAUAAAUUUCAAUGUUUAAUAUCAAAGUACCUUAGUUUUAUCAUCUAAUUAAUCAUGUAAUUAGUUUAAUGGUUGUGUAGGUAGGGAACGAACCAUAAGUUUGGCAAAAGAAGUGAUAUAUUGGCAAAGAAACUGAUAUUAUCUUCAGAUGUAGUUUAUACUUGCAACAGUAAAAAAAAAUAUUACAAAACAUAAAUAAUUGUUAACGAACUUCAACAGAAUUUCUCUGCUUACUGUGUUUUAUUCUUAAUCCCAAGUGAAUGUUAUACACUAUUAAUGAGAUACAUGCAUGCAGCCAAACAUGUGGAGAUUCGUACCAACUGGUGAUAUUUUUAAUAAUUAAAGUGAUGGUUUCUUAUGUUUCUGAUUGAAUAUUUUCUUGAGCAAAUAAAAAUGUUAUCGGCAUCAACGUCGUAGCCUAGUUGAGAUUUAACUUGUAAGGAAUCCAAUAUGGAAAGUAACCCCCUUAUAAUCUCAAGGAAUCCAAAUUCUUUAAUAGACUGAUCAUAUUCUACUGUUUCGAACAACAAAUUAAAUCAGUUCUUCACGAAAGGGAAGAGAAUCAGGGCUGGAUUUGAGUGUUUUAAGUGAAAAUUCCUAAUCAUCUCACUUUGUGUAUUAUCCGGAGAAACCACUUAAAAGAGCCAUAACCUACAAAAGUGACAAACAAUCACAUGAAUUGUGUAUUGUCCGGAAGAAGCUUGAAAGAUUUUAAUAGUAAUUAGCAAGAUCGCGAAAAGUUUGAGGCACCAAAUUUUACUUUGAAUACAACUAAGCAGUGAUGCACCCACAAUACAGUAGGAAGAUUCCUGCCCACUGAAUCUCCAUCGAUCAAACUGUUCGAGAAGAAAGUAAGCGAACUGAAUAAACAGAAUCUCUUUCAUACGACAUCAAUAAGUUUUUGGUAUAUAACAGAAAAUUAUGGAUUUUCAGAACAACUAUUCAGUAGAAGCUGUUACCUCUAGGAGUAGGCUUCUUCGUCGAGAGUGUUUUAAGAGACUUGUUCAUGUUUGACUGAUACACAAACAAAGGAAGAAUCUCCAUCAUUGCUACCAUCUCUUCAGCCUUCGUUACCACUAUCCCGUUUUUGCCGUUAUUUCCAGCGUAAUCUAUGUCGUCGCCAUCGAGCCCCGGCUCCAAAUCUCUGAAGGUCUCAUCUUUUGAUCCCUCAUAUGCCCAUUCUCAUUCCUGCACCGAUCUGCGGUAGAUUUCUCCACUGACGACAUCCAAUCGCACAUAUCAUAUUCUCAAUUUCAGAGAAGAGAGUUCGAAGCUUCGAUUGAUCAGUCUGGAUUUGACACCAUGACUGCUGGUAACAAAUGGGAAAAUAAUAUUCCCUAUAUUCCUAAAAGAUACAUAUUCUAUAAUUUUCACACAUUUUAAUAAAAUACAUUAAAUUUGUAUAAUUUUUUGUGUUUAUUUUUUUUCUAUAACUUUAAGCCAAUAAAAAAUCAAUUAGUGCAAUUAAGUUUUUUUGAAGUUUGCAAUUAGUUAAUAAAACAUGUAUUGAAAAAGUAAAAAAUGAAUCUUUUUGAAACAAUUUUUUUCUUUAGAAUAUGUAACUUUAAGGAGCGGAUGGAGUAAUAGUUAGUAAUAUAUAAGUUUGGAGCGGAGAAACCCGGAACAAUUGCUUGGAUUGUUGUAGUAGUGGAGGGUCUUUAUGAGUAGGAGUGGGAAGUAACUUUACAAAGAGAAUUGGAGAAGGUAUAAACAGUAUGGAAGUUUUAGAUAGGAAAUUUUCACAUAUUUUAAUAAAAUACAUUAAAUUUGUAUAAUUUUUUGUGUUUAUUUUUUUCUAUAACUUUAAGCCAAUAAAAAAUCAAUUAGUGUAACUAAAUUUUUUGAAGUUUGCAAUUAGUUAAUAAAACAUGAAUUGAAAAAGUAAAAAAAUGGAUCUUUUUGAAACAAUUUUUUUCUCUAGAAUAUGUAACUUUAAAGAGCGGAGGGAGUAUUAGUUAGUAAUAUAUAAGUUUGGAGCGGAGGAACCCGAAACAAUUGCUUGGAUUGUUGUAGUAGUGGAGGGUCUUUAUGAGUAGGAGUGGGAAGUAACUUUACAAAGAGAGUUGGAGAAGGUGUAAAAGGUAUGGAAGUUUUAGAUAGGAAAAAGAAGAUGAAGUCCAUGAGUCGUUGUACAACUAUUGUUGACUUUACAUGUAAUUAUGGCUUGAUUAUGGACCUGCAAAACAUAACUCAAUUAUAAUAUAAAGGCUCCGUCCAAUUUAUUUUAGUCUCGUAAAUGAAAAGAAGGGUGACAUGUAAAUAUGAUGCUAAGCUGUCGAUUUAACAGGUUGAGAAUAUUUUAGCUGACGUGUCCUAUCUCAGAAACCUUAAAAAUAGUAGCUUUUAUAUAGUAGGAUAUUUCAUCUAUCCGAAGUACCUUCAAAGUUUUAUUUUAAAACCGCAAAUAUCCAAAUUUCCGAAGGUAUUCACGAGUAAAAUUUAUUUUCUGUGGAAUAAUUAGACCAAAUAUAUCUGGUAUUAAAUUUCAUUUUCUUUAAAAAAAAGAAUACAAUGGACAUGCAAACUAAAUGUUGGGCCCCAUACUAUAAGUAGUCUCUUUCUCCUCUUCUCCGGUCUCUCCUCUGCUUCAGCUGAAUCUUCCCAAGGACGACCGUUUUGAUUCUAUUCAGGGUAUGGUGGAAUAACAUCUCUUGUUCCUCUUCUUCGCUUCCUCUUGCACGAACGAUCUCACUCUCUCUAAUCUCAUUUUCUUUCUUCCAUUUGCAGGUUUUGAGUAUUCUGGUUGGUACCUCCUGUUCUAUCUCUGUUGUCAUGGACUCUUCUCUCGACGGUACGUCCUCUCUAGGUUUCUUACUUCUUGCAAGAAAAGAAAAACAAGAACUUGCCAUGAUUUUUCGUAAUGUGUGCUUAGUGGGUUUAAAGAUGAUUGAUGUUUCUGCGUUAGUUUUAACUCGAAUGGAAUUGAAAGUUUGAAACUUUUUUGGUUUUUAACUCUUGAAGAUGAACGUAGUGAUGGAUUCCUAAUCUUUUCCUAAGUUUUAUGAAGGAUGGUACCAUAAAGGAUGAAACUUUCUUUGUAUAUAUAUGUACAUGUUCUUGGAACUUAGUAAUGAAUGUGGUUUCUUAUCAUGAAGAAACAGUGUUCAGUCUUUAUAAAACAUGUAAAAUUUACAUCCUUUUUCAUCAUGUAUGAGCUCUGCAGGUGACUCCAUGAAAGGCAGAAAAAUGAGCGUUGAUGAAAAGAGAAAGCUUGUUCAUGAACUCUCAAAAGAUUCGGAUUUAGCCUUCGAAGCCUUGCAGGUGUGGACCCAUGAAGAGAUUCGACAGGUCUUAUGCGCAGAGUUAGGGAAAGAAAGAAAGUACAAGAACUUGACGAAAGCUCAGCUCAUCAACAGCCUCUUGAGAACUGUAUCAGAGAAAAAAGCUCCAACGCCUCCUAUUAAAGGAAACUCUGGAGGAGAUCAAGAAGACAGGAAGAGAGACUCAUCAACAACAACAACAACAAAAACAACUAAGAGAAACUCAAAAAGACAAAGGAAGAACGCUACUCCUACUCGCUAUGUGAGCGCUGAAUCGGUUAAUAAAGCUAAAGGCGGUAUCUACUGUAAGAACUUGGCUUGUCAAGCUGUACUGAGACAGGAAGACUUGUUCUGUCAAAGGUGUUCUUGUUGUGUCUGCCACAAGUAUGAUGACAAUAAAGAUCCUAGUCUCUGGUUAACCUGCGGUUCUGAUCCUCCGUUCCCCGGUGAAUCUUGCGGCUUGUCUUGCCAUCUGGAUUGUGCUUUCAAGAAUGAAAAAUCAGGUCUCAAGCCAAGUAGUGACGUUGAUGGAUGCUUCUACUGUGUCUCUUGUGGCAAAACAAACAGCUUGCUUGAGUAAAAAUCUCAAUCAAUCAAUCUUCUUGAGUUCAGUUUGGACAGAUCUUUAUUUUAUUUUUCUUUCUUAGGUGUUGGAAGAAGCAACUGUUGAUUGCAAAGGAAACCAGAAGCGUUGACGUGCUUUGUAACCGUCUUGUAUUGGCUCAGAAGCUUCUCAAGGGCACGGAGAAGUACAGAAAACUAUCUGAGACCGUGGAGGAAGCUGUGAAGAGUUUGGAAACUGAGUUGUGUGGUGGUCCCCUUACUGAUCUUCCAUCGGCAAUGUGUAGAGGAAACGUAAACAGGCUUGGCUCAGCGCCAAAAGUGAAGGAUCUUUGCUCUUCUGCUUUGAAAUCCCUCCAAGAUACACCAGAGUGUUGCUUCAAAGUUGUUUCCCUUAGAGGCGGCAAACAGUCCAGCGUAGAUGAAACCAAAGUCUCUACAAGAACCCUUCAAGAAGAAGAAGAAGAAACUGUUUCAGAGAAGGUGGUCAAUGGUAAGAGUUCAACAAGCUGCGGGUUUGGGCUGGAGGAUUGCGUGAAGAUUAUGAGACAGCUUGAGUGUUCAGGUUAUGUUGAUAAGAGUUUCAGACAGGAGUUCCUGACUUGGUAUAGCUUAAGAGCCAGUGCUCAGGAGAUGAACGUUGUGAAGACAUUCAUUGAUGCUUUCGGGGACGAUUCAGUAGCUUUAGCUGAGCAGCUCGUCGACACAUUCUCUGAUUGCAUAUCAAGAAAGCGGUGACAAGGAUUCUGUAUGAAGCAGCGGCAUUGAUUGGAAGAAUAUUUAUUUAGAACAAAUUAUCAUGUAAACAACAGAAUUUGAUGAAUGGGUUGUUUUGCUCUUUUUGGACAAAGUAGAUCGCAUUGCAGUUAAAUAUGUGAAUGAAAACACUAGAGAGAAUCUGUGGGCCGCUCUAGGAGUUUACAAGUUCUGAUCACAUAGUGUGUGUGUAAGUAAACCCUACGUCUCGGCCAUAUGGGAAACCACCAAAUUCACUACAUGACUUUAAAAAGAGCGAAAGAGCGGUCCACGUAGCUGGGCAUGGACAUUUUACCCAGACCUACAAAACCGACCUUGAUAGACCGAUAAAAACUAGUUCACACCCGACCUACUAACAUGAAUAUCCAAAACUAUGAUUUUAUUUAUUUUAUUUUAUAUAUUUUAGUUUAUAAUUUAGUUGAAAUGCCUUUUUAUUAGUAACUAGGCAUUUUGCCCACGAUGUAGUCUUAAACAUUUUCAUAAUUUUUGAAAAGUUUUUUGUACACUAUAUUCAUAAUUUUAGUAACAAUUUUAUUUGAUUAAUAUUUAAUUAUAUAAUUUAUGUUUUUAACUUUUUACUUAAAAUACUAUUUCAGAUAAUAAUACAAUAUAUAUAUAUAUAGAAAUUAUCUUUUUAUUAUAUUUCUAGAUUUUGGUUAAUUCAAUAUUUUAUUUUUAAUUAUAUAAUUAAGAAUUUAUUUGAUAAUAUUUAGUUAUAUAAUUCAUGUUUUUAACUUUUUACUAAAAGACUUUUUCAGAUAACAAUACAAUAUAUACAGAGAUUAUCUCUUUUUAAAAUUAUAUUUUCAGAUUUCGGAUAAUUCUUACUAUUACUAAUUUUAAUUAAAUAUCUAAUCAAAUAAAUUAAAAUUUCGUUUUUAUUUUUUAAUUUAGUUAUACAUUUUAUUCAUUAAGGGUAUAAACGAUAUUAACCACUCUAACUUUUAAUGUGAGAGCUCGAUUUCAAAAACUAAUUUAUGUUUUAACUUUUUGUUACUAAAAUAUUUUUUGAGAUAACAAUACAAUAUAUAUAUAUAUAUAGAAAUUAUAUUUUUAGAUUUUGGAUAAUUCAAUAUUCUAUUUUUAAUUAUAUAAUUAAAAAUAAUUUGAUUAAUAUUUAGUUAUAUAAUUCAUGUUUUUACUUUUUACUAAAAGACUUUUUCAGAUAGCAAUACAAUAUAUACAUAAAUUAUCUCUUUUUAAAAUUAUAUUCUCAGAUUUUGGAUAAUUCUUACUAUUAUUAAUUUUAAUCAACUAUCUAAUCAAAUAAAUUAAAAUUUUGUUUUUAUUUUUUUUUAAUUUAGUUAUACAUUUUAUUCAUUAAAAGUAUAAACGAUACUGACCACUCUAACUUUUAAUGUGAGAGCUCGAUUCCAAAAACUUACUUCGCAAAUAAUAGUAUAGAUCUUCAUUAUUAUUUUUCAACAUUUUCAAGUAAUAUGAAACUUUAUAUGUCAAAUUUAGAAUUUAAAAAUAUUUAGUUUCAAUUAUUAAUAGUUUAUUUGGCUAUUUUACAAAAUUUAAAAUAAAUAUGAAGGAUUUCAGCUAUUUAUUUAUGGAAUUCAAAUAUUUUAGUCUUUUAAAUCCUAAAUACCUGAACUUAGUUCGAAUUUGAUAUAGACCCAAAAAUUAUAAGUAUUUUACAGAUAGUUUAAUUAUAGAAUCAGACUGAUCCGGACCUGAUAGGAACCGACCGAUCCGGACCCUAUAGGAACCGACCGAACCAAACUUUUUAAGUACUUAGUUUGGUCCAAAUAUCUAAGACAACCUGACUCGACCCAAAGAUCCGAAUGUCCAAGAAUACACAUAACGAAUCCGUAGCAAGUUCUUAAACCUUUUUGUAUCUUUAUCUAAGUCCCAAUACGUUUAAAAAAGAUGGAGAAAUGUUUUGUUUUGUCAACCAAAAAGAUUGAGAAAUGUAAUCAUUCAAAGAUUGUUUUUGGAAAGAAAAAGUAAUGUGCGGUGAGCGUGGAUCGAACACGCGACCUUCAGAUCUUCAGUCUGACGCUCUCCCAACUGAGCUAUCCCCGCUUGUUGUUAUUAUCAUGGUCAUAUCCAACAACUUCUUUCUCUGUUUAUUAAUAUGGCGGUUGAGCGGAUGUACAACAAAGAGAACGUUUACACUAGCUGAAUAGCUUGUCAAGAGGAUCCUUAAAAGUGUGAUAGUUAUGAAUGUGGCAGUAGAAGAUGGAAAGAAAGCGGAUGAUAUAUGCUUCUUGAGAGCAGAGUUCUUAUCAACCAUGUUUUUGGAUGUGAUGAAGGAUUUAUUUGUGAUGGUAAGAGCAUCAUAUAAACAUUUAAGCUUCACUAUUGAGUAUCUAAAUCUUCUUUCUGAAAUUGCUUACAUGAUAUAUAUUACUGGCUUAUUGAAGAUUGGCUUCUUGUUUGUUUGACUCUUGAAAAGAAGCUCCUAUAGUCAAGGCACUUCUGGAUCUGUUGAUCAAUGUAAAUGCAUUCCCAAUACAGUCUGAGUCAGAGUUGCAAGGGAAUUCAAGACUCACACUCCCAAUACUAUAUUGCUAUCUUCUAUAUAAAUAAAAUUGUUACUUCUCUUAAGAGAGUGACACCUAAUUUUUUAUAAACACUCUUUAAUUGGCAUCUCAUCAUAAGUUUAAGAGAUUAUAUUCAUAAAUAUCGAAAAUAGUUAUUUGACCAAAAAAAAAACGAAAAUAGUUAUUGAUUUAUCGAAUCAAACUAUAUAAACUACUCAAUAUUAUCCAAAAUUUAUAAAUCCGGUAUAAGAACUAUUUUAACCUUUCUAAAACACUCAAAAGUAUAUGAAUUACUUAAACUUCAGUAAAAAGAAAGUUAUUGAAUUUAGUUAACUUCGGAUAUUUCGUUUUGAACAAGGUAAGAUCACUUGUUAACCCAUACCUAAGUACCUAACCUAAAUCUCACUGAAUCAAGACAUGAUCGACUUUUCUGUAGGAUUCAGAUUCAGAUUCAGAUUGAGCGGUUUUUCUUAUGGUCAGAUUCGGGUCAAGUGUUUUUUGCCUAGCAUUGCUUUUUCCUAUAAACCAGUGGUGACAAUGUAAAAUCCUUGUUUUGGUUCCAACUUAGUAAAUACUUACUUGCUAGACUGUUUUGAAUUGAGACAUCAUAUAUAUAUAUAUAUAUAUUAUAAACUCACAACACCAAAUAUACCAAGAGAUCUCCAAGGUUAAAUAAAUUCAAUGAUCGAAGAUGACUUUCAUAAAGACUCAAGCGUAUGGUUGUUUUUGUACUUUCCCUGGCAUCUCCUCUGCUUCCACGCACUUUACUUCCUGCGUUUAUGUGCAAAAGAAGAUAAAAGAUGAAUCUUAACCACACAAUAUGCUUUUGAGUAACAUAUGCAAUAAAUCAAUGACUAAAGUAGAGUAAGCCCAAAACCAAUCAAAGACACGUUACCAAAUGCAUUAUACAUAACAAGAAUUCAAAAGAAACAACAAACGCUAAUCUAUGAAAGGGUAAAAAGAACACUUACAGAUCCUUGGCCUUGGUAAUACUCGUCCAAAGCCCACUGGUACUUAGAUUGGUUUAACCCAAACCAUCUCACUAAAUGAUCAUCCACGCUUGAGUGUGCUGUGGCAACCAUUAAACAAACAUGAAUGUCAAAGUUACAAUUCAUUUAAUCCUCAAUUUCAUAUUUGCAUUAGCAAUAAUCUCCACCAGUCCACCCUUACUCUACUUUCUAAAUAUAUAAUCUUUAUAUCAGUUUAUUGAUCAAUCAAUCAGACCUCAAGAUCCGAAAAUGAAUGGAACUUUUUGACUAGCUCCUUACCAUUUUGAACCUUUGCGGCGGCGUUUUUGAGGAAACCCAAAACUGAGCUGUCUUGUUCAGAGGACGAAGCCACCGAUUUAAACUGCUGCGGCGGAGGAAGAACCGGCGGUUGAACGAUAGCCUUCUGAGACACGGCGGCAGGAGACUCAGGUGGUUUUGGAGUCGCCGGAGGAGUCAUGAAAACAGUGUAAGGCCCGAUCUUUCCGAUGACAGGCGGAGGUGUUGGUGGAUCUUUGUUGAUUGGCAUCUUGAGGUGAGAUUGAGAGAAGAUCGAAGCAAAUUAUGCAGACAAGAAUCUGAGAAAGAAGAAGAAUAAGCUGUACUAGCUAGUUGUGCAAGAUGCAGACAGUGAAAGUGAAGACUGUUCGUUCUAUAGUAUAAAUGUACUUUUCAGUUCUCACACGCACCAAAGAGACCAAUAAAAAAGUCUUUUUCUUUUAAAACUGAAUGCUUUUGUUUUUUUUUUUUUUUUUUUUUUUUGUUCAAGCUUUUGUUUUUCUUUUCAUACUCAGAUAUAAUCAGAUUAAACCAAACCAAACCAAACCAAAAGUUUAAGGAUCUUUUCAGUCAAUGUAUAAUCCAAUGGUGUAUAAUGUAAGUCAGUAACGUUCGCUUUUUUUAAUUAGUUUGAUUAAUUAUCUAUUAAAAAUAAAAAGAAUAUAUUUUAAUAAUUUAUAGAAAUGUGAAAUUCGUAAAAACAUAGUAUAUAUUCCUUUCAUCAUUCAUGAACAAAGUUGCUUAUUUUUAUUUCAAGUAAAAUGUAAAUUUUAAUACAAAAACUCACAAAUCUACAAAGAAAAAACAAACAAAUAUAUAAUUUGAUUUAGGACUCUAAAUUCUCACGUACUCGAACAGCUAGCCGCUGGAUGGACUGAUCAUCAAAGUAAGCAUCAAGAGUUUUAAUCUUCGAUACAAACUCCAUAGCUUCACUAUACCUCCCUCCUCUGCAAUAACCAUCCACAACCAUUUUAUACGUCAACUCAUUUGGUCUGCACUUAUUCUUCCCCAUACACUCAAUCACAUCCUCUAUCUCCCCAAACAUCCCCAUCGCUGUGUAGCCCGAAACAAACGUGUUGUAAGUGAAGAUACACGGUCUGAUCCCACGCUCUGUCAUCUCAGACAGCAUCCUAACCGCUUCUUGCAUCAGCCCUUUCCUGCAGAACCCCUUGAUCACCGUGUUGUAAGAGACAAGGUCCGGUCUCAGCUUUGAUUUCUCUAGACUCUUGAGGAUCUCUUCGGCUUUCCAACACUCUCCACGUCUUACAUACAUGUCCAUGAGGCUGUUGUAAGUCACGAGAUCUGGUGUCAGCUCGUGGUCGCGGAUGGACUGGAGGAUCUCGUGCGCUUGGUCGUACAUGUUGUUCCUUGUGAAGAUGGAGAGCAUCGAGUUGAAAAUCACCAUGUCGGGUUUGUAUCCGUGCUUUUUAAACAGCGCGAAGGCUCUCUCCAUCCCAGCAAGCGCUCUGCAUUUGAAGUUUGCGAGAAGCAGAGUUCUCAGAAGCAUCCAGCUCGGGAAGAUCUGCCCCUCGACUAUCUCCUUCUCGAUUCUCUCUAUCCCUAGAACGUUCCCUCCCUUGGCAUAACACUGAAGCAUCAACGAGUAAGACGUCUCCGUCGGUUUGAAACCUUUGCUUUUCAUGUCGGAGAUCACACCCUCUCCCGAUCUCCAGUCCCCUUGUCUAGACAAGGCGUUAAGCAACGCGUUGUAAGUCGUGACGCAAGCGUUGAAACCCGCUCUCGUCAUCUCCCCGAACAUUUUCGACGCGUCGACCUCCGAGCCACACCUCCCGUAAGCACUGAUCAGCGUGUUGAACGUGUCCCUAUCAGGCUCGAAACCGCAGCUCUUCAUCUCGCGGAACACUCGGUUCACGUACUUAUCCAUACCCUUGUUCCCACACAGAGCGAGCAUCGUGUUCCAAGUAACCCUAUUCGGGGAGCAUCCACUACUCUUCAUGUUGCAUAACAUCUUCACCAUCUCAUUAGAUCUCGAUUUCUUCCCCAGCAUACUAAGCACCACGUUGUAGGUGCACGUGUUCGGAACACAACCAGCUCUCUUCAUAGUGUAAAACAGCUUCAAAGCCUCCUCCUCCUUCCCCGACUUCCCAUACGCAUCUAUCACAGUCGUAUAAGUGAUGGCGUUCGGCAUCACACCUUUCCCCGUCAUCACCUCGAUGACACCAGCAGCUUCCUUGGUGAAACCAGCUCUAACAUAAGCCGCAACAAGCUCAUUGUACGUCACUGAAUCCGCGGGACAAUUGUUCUCCUCCAUCUCUUUCAAAAUCUUCAACGCUUCCGUGUAAACCCCCGCUUUACCAUAAACUUGCAACAGCGCGUUGUAAGUCACAGUCCCAGGCUCGUAUCCACUAGACUUAAUCUCAGCGAAAAACUCCUUCGCCUCUCUUAACAAACCCUCUCUGGCGCAAGCGGACAACACAGUGCUGCAAGUAAACUCAUCGAACUUCAUCCCUUUGCUUCUAAUCUCGUCUAGAACUAGUACAAUCUUGCCCCAAGACCUUCCCAUUCUCCCGAAAACAUCGAGGAUCACAUUGUAAGUCACCAGAGUAGGCGAAGGACCCAUCUCCUUCAUCCUCUCGAAGAGAUUGAUCGCUCUUUCGUACUUCCCUGUACGCGAAUAAGCGUAGAGAAUAGUCGUGUAAGCGCGAACAUCUAACGUGUAUUCUUGCAGAGGAAUUUUAUCGAGCAGCUUAGCUGCAACGGAGUACUGAGACUCUCUACCUAAGAUCCUAACUACAAUCUCUAUAACAUAAUGAUCUAGCUUCAAAUCUCCUGAGUUCGAAGCCGAAACUAGCCAUUCGAACAGCAAAACAGCUCUCUCCCAGUUUCCGGAAUCGUCCAGAGCCUUGACGAGACUGAACACAUCGGUCCUAAUCAGCUCGGACUUCGCGGAAUCGAAGAAGCUGCUCAAUUCAGACAAAGGGUGGGCCAAGAUGGAGUUGAGUAACGCAGUUUCCUUCUUACACAGCAGCUUCAAAGACCCGUUGAUACCCAGAACGGGGCUCGAGAAGGGUUUCGCGGAUUUGACCUCGAGAGAAGGGAAACGAGCGGCGGGGGGUGAGGUGGCAUGUCGGGGAGAGGAAGAGAGGUGGACGAGGUGGUGGAGAAGGGAAUCGAGAGGGAAGGAAGGAGAAGGAGAAGGAGGAGGUAAGUGGAGUGUGGCGGAGCUGAAUUUGAGGGAGUGGUUAGAGGACUGAGGUGGUGGAGGUCGCUUGGAUUGAAUAGGGUAUGGAGGUUUGAGAGGGGAGAGUGCGGCGUCCAUUGAGGAAGGACGUUAUCCGAUUAUUGCUUAAUGGUGGAACAAGCAAGAUAGAUAAAGCGCCUUUGGUUGUAAGUUUUUGAAUGGCCGUAAGAAACUCGUCCCCUAUCGAGAAAACAAGAUUCAUUGGCCUUUCGUUCCAACCCGUAUUUUAACCCGACCCGGUUCAUCCCCAAUUUCGGAUCCAAAACUAACGGAACGGGAAAUAUCCCAAAAUAUGGAACUUCUAAACUCCGGUCUGGUAUUAAACCGGCUGAUUAGACCAUUUAGGAUCCGGAACCGGUGAUUAACCAGUUUACCCGGCUGAACUGCCCGGGCGUUUUGUGUGGUCGGUUUGAUACAUGACGCCUUUGAUUUUUUUAACACCAACAUAAAUUAAUUCAAGCUACCAUCUACGUGGUAGAUACAGAGUAGCCAUUACAGAGAGUCUUUUAGCUAACGAGUCAGCUGCAGAGUUCAGAUUUCUUGAAAUAAAGACAAAAGAAAAGACAGAGAUAGAAAGAAACAUGAUAAGAGACACGGACGAUUCCAAAGAUCUCAACCGAAGAAAGCUUUUGAGUUACUUGCUUUGACAAACACUUGACAAUCUGAUUUUAUACAAGAUUUUUGAGAUGCCGAAGUAUUUUGCAUUGAUCAGAGCUGACCGAAUUGCUAAAAUGUUAGGAGUGAAUCCAAUCGCUCUUUUGAUACCUUUGAAUACAAGUUGCUUUGAUACCAAUUAAGGCUCCUUUUCAAAGGUAAGAGAGUUUGUGAAAAACAAACUAAUAAAACAUAACACAAGUUACUUCAAUUUUCUUCGCUGAUUUUUUCCUUUGGUUUUUCUCAUUUAAAUAAAGAAAUUAGAACCAUAAGUUCCAACGGAAGCAAAUUAAGUAAAGGGAAACAUGGACAUCCUGACUUACUCUCCCCUUGAAAAGAGGACAUGAGCAAGAGACCAUAACUAAUACAUGCAACAAUAAUAAAUGAAUAUAAUAAUCUGUCAAGCCACGUACGGUUUUAUUGCCGGUUCAAUAAUUACCAACUCAUCAUAAAGCCUCUGCUUGGAGGGAGGAGGCGACCUGCAUUUCCAGAGAUGAUCAGCGAGGUACUCCAGACUUUCCUAGCCAUUUCACAUUGGAAGAAAAUGUGGAGAGCUGGUCUCCUGCAUCUGCAGCAUUGUGUAUUAAAUAAAAAACCUCGUUUUUGGUCUCCUGCAUCUGCAGCAUUGUGUAUUAAUAAUGUACUAGAACUUGGAACUGGACAGCUUCUAAACGAGACCAUAUAGUAUUUAAUGUAAUACCAGAUCGCCUCGUCUCUUGCAACUAGAGACCAUAUAGUAUUUAAUGUAAUACCAGAUCGAAUCGUCUCUUCUGCCAAGCCAAAAACCUUAACUUUCGUCAACAGUUAAAUAAUUUACUUUCGGAUUGUUCUGUCAUGUUUUUUUUUUUUGAAUUUUCAAGGCUGGGAAAAAAUGGAAAUUACCGAAACAGGGACUAGAUGGUUAUUUGCACGUGAGCUAGUGAAAAAUGAAAAAUGGAAACUAAGCAAUGGAUAUAUUUGAUGACGAUCGUAGUAGGAUUUGAUUGCAACUAGAGACCAUAUAGUAUUAAGUGUAAACACAACACAACUUUGCGUAGUUUCAAGAAAGCAAAGGUCUCAGACACGCCGGCGUCAAGAAGUCUCUGGUUGAAACAGAUGUCAAACCAAGCCAGAGCCGUCUCUCGAUCCCUUUCCACAAAACUGAUCCGAAACGACUUCUUGACGCCUGCUGAGUCGAGAAUCAUCGAGGAAGACAUCAGCAACAGAGAAAAUAUGGGGUUUGGGAGCGGUUCUUGUUGAUAAAGGCAUUAAAAAGUGGGGUGUGUUUUUCAAGAGAUGGGAGAUGCACGGUUCUUGGAACCAGGGGCGGAGGCAGUGAAGGAGGUGUGGGGUCAGCUGACCCCACUACUUUUUUAAAAAAUAUUUUUUUUAUUUAAGAAAAUUUGUAUUGACCCCAUUAAAAAUGAAAAUUUGACCCCAAUAAAAAUAUAAUUUCACAAAUAUAAUCACAAAACAUUAAAGAUUGAAGAUAACUUAAAAUUAUAUAAAUAAUAUGUUUAUUUUAUUUGUUAAACAUUUGAUUUAUAUUAAUUUUAGCUUAAAUUUCAAUAAACACGGUUUUAUAUUAAGUGUUAGUUACAUAUUUCAAUAAAGUCCAAAUUGUAUUAGGUCCAAUAACUAUUAUUAAAAAAAAGUUUGAAAUUAAUGAGUGAAUUUGAAAAAAAAGAUUUGUACUUCUUUUCUGGACAACGCAAAAAAGAAGAACUCUCAUGUUCCCCAAGCAAUUUUUGGAUAUUUUUUUCUGACCGAAUAAUUUUUAAAUAAGUUUUUUUUUUGUUAUACACUCUCCACUUUAUUUUACCAAACUAAAAAUGAUUAUGAUUUAAAUUUAUCAGUUAACUAAUGGAUCAAUUUUUGAAUCGGCAAAAAAAUAUCAGCCAAUUAAAAUAGUCAAAAAAUAAUAUUAAUACAAUAUUGCAUCAGUAAUGAGUUUCUAAAAUUUUUUAUGAUUUGUUUUUUCGAAAAUAUUUUAAAUUGUAGUAAAGAAUUAUGAUAAACAAGUUUUAAAAUAUGAAUGAUCAUAAAGUAUAUUUAUAAUUUUUCUGUGGUUAUAAAUUAUGUAUUUGGAAAAAAAAAAUUGACUCCGGUACAAAAACUUUCUGGCUCCGCCACUGCUUGGAACUACGCUUCGGUUUGUGGUUGGAAAGAUGGAGACAACAUUAGUCUUUGGUCUUUCAGGUGCCGAGGAGUUCUCUCUUUUGCCCUUGUUCCUCUGAGAUAACUUCUUUUACUUGAGGUUUGUGUCCAGUGCCUUCUCAGAAUUGUAAUUAUCAAGAUUAGGGUUUUGGUACAGUACGUUUGAUCUUACAACACCUUGUUGGGUUUAUCUCAAGUAAUUUUUACUAUGAAUUGAUGAAUGUUCUGAAAUGAAUACGUGUUUCCUUAAAAGUUUCAGUUUAUGGAUAGUUUCAUUUAACUCAGUUUAAUUAAACAGUCUUCUGCCCUUAAAGUCUUGCUUCUGCAGUUCUACCAAUUAUUUCCCUCUUUGCUGCAUUCACUCCUUUAAAGAAUGUUUUGGUUGGUUUUCUCAAAUUUGAUGCAAACUUUUGUUUCACUUCACACUUGUUCCUGAUAUAGGCUCCUUCUUGAUUGCGUCAUUUUUUCUUCUUCUUGUUGCUGAUUGUUGUGCAAACUUUUGCUCCUCUUCACGUUUGAGUUCUGGAAUUGUGCUCUCCAUCUUUUUUUUCUGAACUAAUUUGAUGCAUUAAAAUAAAGGUAACUGAUAUUGCAUUUAGGCUAUAUAGUUUGUUACAAGUUUGAUGGAAACCAUAGAGUAUUACAAGUUACAACAUUCGCAAUCCAAGAAAAGCUCAUUAAGCUAGAUAAUGAAAUAAAGCCAAGACACGUCUUACGAUUUGCGGUUACCUCGACCUCUCGAGAUAUGCUUUCCUCUUCCCUUGACAAGUGUCCAUCCCAUUUCCUGUACUUUUUGAGUUGGUUUAAUCGAUCUCCCUCCCCUAGUCGUGUUCAGGUGAGUUGUGGACUCACAGUGUGAGCCCCACACUCUUGUGAACGGUCGAAUAGAGGAAGAUGUGGAUCAAUUAAAGCGUCAUCUUCCGGGUUAUUCACCACGGUGAUGACCAUUGUGGAUGGAGUUUCCUCCAUAAUCUUUUCGCUAACUGGAGUAGAGGAAUUCUCUACUAAUGGUGAAAAAGUUUGCUUAGACUGUAAAAGAGGCACCUCUUUAACUAGUGAAAGAUCUUCUUCUUGAAGAGUGGCUGCUUCUCUUGUAGUUGACCUCAUUUCAUCUUGAGCAUCAUUCAUUUUUUCUAGAGCGUUACUCAUUUCCACAUGCGUAGUAAGGAUAGAACCAAUUGUAGCAGAGUUGUCUUGAAAAAAUGUCGGUUUAGGAGAUGAAUCAUUAGACCCGAAUUGAUCUAUACUAACCAUAGGUACAUUUGAACCAUCUUCGUGAACUUCUAUUGGCUCGCUUGUAGCUUUUGAAAAAUUGGCUGGUAGAAGGCUCUCUCCUAUUGAUCUUGGAGGAGGUAAUUUAGCAUUCACUGACUUCUUUCUCCCAGGUAACAUGGAAGUACUCUAUGAACCCAUAAGCAGUGUCGGGGGACAAACGGUGUGACCGUCCAAAUCCGUGUCCCACCGUUUCUUAAUAGUUAAUGGGCUUAAUAUUUUUAUAUAUAUUUACAUAUUUUUAGAUAUAAAAUUUUAAAUAUUCAUUAAAUUUGGUUGAAAAGGGCACCAAAAAUAUUUUAAAUUACACAAUUUAUUUUCAUCGUAAAUUUUAUAAAGAUAUUGAUGAUAAAAAAAUUUAAAUAUAAUUAAAUUUUAAAUAAACAGAAAUGUUAAAAGCUUUAAAACGUUGUGUUGUCCAUAAGCUAAAUAAAUGUUGAGCCGGCUCUGCCCAUAAGCCAAAAAAGAUACCACAGUACUUGGUAUGAUUGCCUUUACAAGACUUAGAGCUGCAUGUAUUAAUCCCUAGCUCAUGUCAAAGAAACUGAAAGAAAAAACACAGAAGAAAAAAAAUGAAGAAAUUAUUCAGAAACUGGAUCAUAUAUUUCACCAGGAACAUCCUUCUUCUUUCUCAUUGCACUGAGUGGAAACAGAGAAAUCGAGCCAAGGACAGUGAGAAGAAGUUACACCACGCUCGGAGUAUUAUACGUUUUUUUUUUUGGUAAAACGGAGUAUUAUACGUUGGAGAUUGGUUGAGCCUGAAAAUGAACAAGGCUGUAACAGAAGUGGUUCUUUCCCAAGUAAAUGUUUUUUCUUCUACGGGUCAGUGUAAUAACCAAGAUCUAUUAAUAUUUACAAUUACACCCAAUUAGGAAUACACAGCAGGAUAAAACCCAGAAAGCUUCAUAUGACCAACCUGAAGUUUCAAACUAAAUUCUCAAAAACACAAAGUUUCAAACUAAAUUCUCAAAAACACAAAGUUCCAACCAAUUCAAAUUUAACAUAAUUUUAAUUUCUGUCCAAAUUAUUUAAUUAGUUUCAAAUAUUAAAUUAAUCAGAAGAUAUAAUUUAGCUUUUUUUUUAUUACAAAGCAAUUUAGAUAAUGGUUUGGUACUUCAAAAUAUUUUAUUUAUUCUAUCACCAAACCACACAUGUAAGAAAUAUUAUCAUCAUAAUAACCAAAUAAAUUUUCAUUAGUACUUUAAAAUAACAUAAAAGAUAAAUCAACAAAAUUAAACCAUAAUUACCAAUUAUCAUGAAGCCUAUGAAAUCAAACCCCUCUUCAUUGAAUAAUAGUAUAGAUGAUUGAAUAUUGGGAUUUUUGCAAAAUUGACCUACAACUUAAAGUCAAACACAAAACUAACCUCCUUUUUUUUUGAAAAUUGGUUUUGCCCUAUUCACCCCACAAGUUCAUAUAAUUUACGAAAAUGCCAUCAAUUUUUUUUUUUUUUUCGAAAAUGACAUUUUUACUCUCUCACCCUCAUCAUCUUCAAGUAAUUACAAGAUUGCCAUUGUCAUCAAUACCACAACCACCAUGAACAACCAAUUUGAAGCUCUUAAUGCUCCCAAAAUCGAUUUACCCUUCUUCUUUUUCCAUUCUUGUGAACUAAACACAACAUAUCUCUCACUUUCUCUCCACAAUGAGCUAAAAAAACCCAAGAUUUUGAUUCUAAAAUUUUUAUGGUUCAUAGAGUCAUAAAAGCUAACGAUUAUGGGUGGGUGACUUCCGUUUGUGAUUCUGUGUACUUGGAGAAGCCUUAUGUAUGCUAAGGAACUUAUCUCACCAAUUUAAGGUAUGACAUCGAGUUUUUUUCCAGAUCUGUUCGUCAGACGACUUACUUGGGAAGUCGUCUGGCUGUAGACGACUUACUUUUCAGUCGUCUGGCUGUAGACGACUUACCUGGAAGUCGUCUGGUCAACGCAAAGGUUAUUUUUGCAAUUGACUUUGAAAUCUGUAACCUGAGACGACUGAAAGUUAAGUCGUCUACUAUUGUUUGGUUUCAAAAAAAAAUUCCAAAGAACCGAGACGACUUACAUUUCAGUCGUCAUAGGUUAGUUUUGUAUUUGACUGGAUAAUUUCAGAAGUUUGACUUCCCCAGACGACUUACAUUUCAGUCGUCUGGCGAAAAUUAAAAUAAUAAUAUUUUUUUUAAAGUAAACGACUUACAAUUAAGUAGUCAUAGGUUAGUUUUGUAUUUGACUGGAUAAUUUCAGAAUUUUGACUUCCCCAGACGACUUACAUUUCAGUCGUCUGGCGAAAAUUAAAAUAAUAAUAUUUUUUUUAAAGUAAACGACUUACAAUUAAGUAGUCAUAGGUUAGUUUUGCAAUUGCAAAAAAAAACUUCAAGAUUUAAUUAUACACAGACGACUUAUAAUUCAGUCGUCCACCAGACGACUUAAUUGUAAGUCGUCCAGGAUUUUUUCCGAGAUUCUGGUCAAACCUCGUAAAUCCUGGACGACUUACAUUUCAGUCGUCUCGUGGACGACUGAAUUAUAAGUCGUCUGUAUAUAAUUAAAUCUUGAAGUUUUUUUUUUCAAUUGCAAAACUAAUCUAUGACGAUUUAACUGUAAGUCGUCUACUUUUAAAAAAAUAUUAUUAUUUUAAUUUUCACUAGACGACUGAAAUGUAAGUUGUCUAAAAAGUCAAACUUCUGAAAUAAUCCAGUCAAAUGCAAAACUAACCUCUGACGACUGAAAUGUAAGUCGUCUAGCUUUUUUGGAGUUUUUUUUUUAACCAAACAAUAGUAGACGACUUAACUUUCAGUCGUCCGAAAUAACAGAUUUCAAAGUCAAUUGCAAAAAUAACCUCUGCGUUGACCAGACGACAUAUAGUUUAGUCGUCUAGACAACUUAGAUUGAAGUCGUCCGCGUCUUCUCCACUAGUUUUUAAGUCUUCUACGUUAGUUUUGGAAUAACUUGUAUUUUUAAGAGUGAUAAGUAACUUCAAGAUAUGUAAAACUCAUAUUUACAAAAUAUGUUCUCUCCCUUAGUUUUACUAAAUUUGACUAAGUUUUUCAAUGCAAACUUAUAAAAAAUAUGAUAUGCUUUGACUAGUUACUAUUGUUUGUUUCCAUCUCUUACCAACAUUCUUGUUUAUUAAGAUGAGAAAAAGGCCAUUGGAGUUUUUUAGUGUAUAUGAGAGAUCCAAAGAUAAGAAAAAGGCUACUGAAGUCUAUUAUUUCAUUGAUUUGUAAAUGUGUAAACACAUUGUUAGCACAUUUAAUACAUCUUGGAAAACAUUAUUACUGAUUUUACAAAAAAAUCACAACUAAAAGAGUAUACAUGCAAUUCAUAAAACAGACCACAAACAAAACUAUUAUAGAUCAUUCAUCUACAAAGACAAGCUUGGAUUCCACUUGAGUAGACAAGACCAGACAACUUUUAAGAAGUCCAGACGACUUCUAAGAAGUCCAGACGACUUCCAGGAAGUUCAGACGACUUUGCCAGAAGACUUUUAGGAAGUUCAAACGACUUCCAGACGACUUUACAGGAAGUCCAGACGACUUUUAGGAAGUCCAGACGACUUCCAGACGACUUCCAGACGACUUCCAGACGACUAACAAGUAAGUCAUCCCAGAAGUCUUCCAGAUCUGAAAAACCUGCAUAUUAAAUCCAGAUCUGAAAAACCUGCAUAUUCAAAAACGUUCAAAUGGCUUAAAAACAGAAAAAAUGAGUGGAAGAUUAGAUAAAUCUACCUUUACAGAACACACAAAAAUACAUAUCUAAAAAUAAUAGAUCUACCUUUAAAUUAGUGGAAGAUGAGUACCAAAUAAUUAAAAACCUGCAAAAAAAAAAAAUAGAUUAGUAACAAAGACAUGAGACAAAAUUGAAAAAUUCAUAUAAAGUUUGGUGUUUUCAAGUCAAAGAGAUUAGAGUGGGUUUAGAGAGUUUUAGUUUGGGAAAAAAGUAAGAACUUUAUACAACAAGAAGUUACCAAAUGAAGAAAAAUCAGACAUAAGAACUUACCAAAACGCUCAGAAAAAUCCAGACGACUUCCUAGAAGUCCAGACGACUUCCUGGAAGUCCAGACGACUUCCUGGAAGUCCAGACGACUUCCUGGAAGUCCAGACGACUUUGUCAGAAGACUUCCAAGAAGUCCAGACGACUUCCAGACGACUUCCAAACGACUAACAAGUAAGUCGUCCCAGAAGUCUUCCAGAUCUGAAAAACCUGCACAUCAAAUCCAGAUCUGAAAAACCUGCAUAUUCAAAAACGUUCAAAUGACUUAAAAAUAGAGAAAAUGAGUGGAAGAUUAGAUAAAUCUACAUUUAUAGAACACACAAAAAUACAUAUCUAAAAUUAAUAGAUCUACCUCUAAAUUAGUGGAAGAUGAGUACCAUUUGAUUAAAAACCUGCAAAAGAGAUAGAUUAGUAAGAAAUACAUGAGACAAAACUGAAAAAUUCAUAUAAAGUUUGGUGUUUUCAAGUCAAAGAGAUUAGAGAGAGGUUGGAGAGUUUUAGAAUGAUGAACAUUACAUUUUUGUUGCAGCCAUUUGAGAGGAGGAGAGAGAAUGUGUAAAUUUUUCUUUAUAUAGGGAGACAAAAAAUCCAAUUAGAUUAAAUAUUUUUGACUCAGACGACUUCCUGGACGACUUACAUUUCAGUCGUCUGGUGAAGAAAUUAAAACAGACGACUUAUAUGUAAGUCGUCCAGAAGAGUUUAAUAUUUUUAGCGGGAAAUUAAAUAUUUUUAGCGGGAAACUAAAAUAGAAGACUUUCCAGACAACUUACAAGUAAGUCGUCUGGACGACUGAAUUAUACGUCGUCAGGGUAAAUUAUUCAACAGACGACUGAAAUAUAAGUCGUCCACACCCUAAACAUAACCCAUAAACUUAAUUAUCUAAUUAAACACUUCAUAAAACCAAAUCAAACUUGAAAAGUGUUUACUAUACACAUAAAUAAACACAUAUAGGUGAAAACUAUAUUUUGAAAAAAACAUUUUAGUUUUCCAAAAUCUAACCCUAACAAUACAUACAAUACUACAACAUAUGUUUGCCAAACUCCUAAACCAAAGUAUUUCAUGAUUCACUACUUCCACUCAUCUAUCUUCAAAACAAAUCAAUUUUAUCAUAUCUUAAUUUAUAUCAGUUAAAACUGUUUAUAAUUACUUGAUUUUUAUUUUUUACGCAUCAAAAUAUUUUUUUACAAGAUUUAUAAAUUGUUUUUAAAAUAAACUGGUACCAGACGACUUACACUUCAGUCGUCCAGACGACUUCCAACAUCUCAGACGACUCAAGCGAUUUACUGGGGCUAUAUUCGUAAAAAUGGCUUCUGUUUUUUUGUUUGGUCACAAGGGGCUGAGCUGUAAUUUCACUAGGCUUUUAGGUUAGUUUUGCAUUUGAUUCAAGUUUGGGUGUAUGUUUAGAAUUAAAAUCAAGUUGUGGGUUAGUUUUGGCAAAAAUCCCUUGAAUAUUUUUCUUUGUUUCGAUGAUUCCUACGAACAUUAGUUUAAUUGCAUUUUCUAUGAAAUUUCCUCUUUAUCGGUGUUGAUCGUGAUACCUAUUAACAAAAUAUAAAAUAAUUAAAACAUACUUCUAUUUGACUAAAACUUUAUCAACUAAAAGUCAUAAAUUAUAGGAAAAUUACCAUAAAUACCACAAUUAUAUUACCACUUUUCAGGUUUACGUAAACUAUUUUUACGUUCACUUUUAAUAAAGAGUUAAAAGAUAUUUAUACCCCUAGGGUUAACUAAUCUAGACUUAUGGUUUAGAGUUGAAGUGUGGGGUAGGGUUUUUGGAAUGUUAAAUUUGAGAUUCUAAUAAAUAUAUAAACAAAUACUUAAAUCUUUUUUUUUUAAAUUAAAAAAAUUAAUAAAAAGGUUCAAAUUUGAAAAAGUAUAAUUCAAAAACAUAAAAAAAUAAUUUUUUUUAUAUUUUUUAUAUUUUUAAAAUUUUUAUAUUUUUAAAAUAUUUAUAUUUUAUUAUUUAAAUAAUUAUUAUUAUAUAUAUAGAGAACACGAGUAUAAAAUUCUUUUGCCAAUUAAUAAAAAUGUAUUUUUGUAAAUAUCUAUUUAGUGGUGGUAAAGAUGAAUAAUGAUACCAUAAAAGUGGUAAAUAUGAAAUUUCUCCUAAAUUAUAUAUGUCUAGCAAAAACUGAUUUUUUUUUUAAUUUUAACGGUCCGAAAUUGUAUUCUUUGGACUUAUAUCUUUUGAUUGGUAAGACGAUUUUGUUAUUUAGAAGACACCAAGAUACUGAAGAGAAGUUUCAAUCACCCAGAUCUCAUUCAUAUACCCCGGACACUUAAUACAAGGACAGAUUGUCUUGCACAGAGUGCUAGGCAGCAAUAGUUGUUUGUUGUUCAUAUAUGGAUGUCGAGUUACCAGUAUGGUUUGUAGAGUCUUAGUUGAGUUUGUGUAUGCUGUUGACAAAAAAAAAACGAUUUCCUGACAUAAAAGAUAAGAAAGUUUCCUUUUAACAAUAAUAUAAAUAAAACAUUAAACAAUUUACUAUUACUAAAGUAAAUAUAAGAUGAACAUAGCUAUAAAAAUAUUGCUAAAAAUUAUUAAUAUUUGUUAAUAAUAAUUAUCCGGAAUAUAAUUUAAAACAUUUAUUAAAUAAUCACUCAUUUUUUUUAAAAACUAACAAUUCAAAAUUUUAUUUAUUAAAAUUCAUGAAUCAACCUAAAAUCUUGGAAUAUGACAAAUAAGCUUCUAAAAAUUAAUAAAAUAUGAAAAAUAAUCAAAAUAAAUAAAAAUUAUUGAGAACAUGGCAAGUAAGCAUUCUCACUUAUAAAAAUAAUUUCAAAUAUUAAAUUAAUCAGAAGAUAUAAUUUACCUUUUCUUAUUACAACGCAACUUAGAUAAUGGUUUCGUAGUUGCAAAAUCUUUUAUUUAUUCUAUCACCAAACCACACAUGUAAAAAGUAUCAUCAUAAUAAUAACCUAAUAAAGUUUUAUUUAUACUUUCAAAUAACAUAAAAGAUAAAUCUACAAAUUAAACUACAAUUACCAAUUAUCAGUGAAGCCUAUGAAAUCAAACUUCUCUUCAUCAACUAAAAGUAUAGAUGAUUGAACAUUUUUCCUUGUUUCGGUGAUUCCUAACAUAACAUUAGUUUAAUUGCAUUUUAUACGAGUUUUCUCUUCAUCAAAGUUCAUAGUGACUACCUAUUAACAAAAUAUACAAUAAUUAAAAACAUAUUUCUAUUUAACUAAAAAAAUAUAAACCAAAAGUAAUAAAUUAUAUAUGUCUUAUAAAAACUGGAUUUUGUUUUUUUAAUUUACAAUGACAAGAUGAUUCACUCACAUAAAAAAAAGCUUCUUUUUCAAAAUAUUAAAUAAAAACAUUAAACGAUUUAAUAUUACUAAAGUAAACAUAAGAUAAACAUAACUAUAAAAUUAUUGCUCAAAUUUGAUAAUACUCGUUAAUAAUAAUUAUCCUGAAUAUAAUUAAAAUAUUUAUUAAAUAAUCACUAAAAUUGUAUAAAAACUAACAAUUCAAAAUUUUAUUUAUAAAAAUUAAUGACAACCUGAAAUCAUGGAAUAUGACGAAUAAGUUUCUAAAAAUAACAAAACAUGACAAAUAAUCAAAAUAACUUAAAAUCACUGAGAACAUGGCUUAUAAGAAAUUUUAAAUAUUUAAAUAAUUUUAAAUAUUAAAUUAAUUUUAAAAUAUAAUUUUUUUUAUUACAACGCAACUUAAAUAACGGUUUGGUAUUUGCAAAAUCUUUUAUUUAUUCUAUCACCAAACCACACAUGUAAAGAGUAUCAUCAUCAUAAUAACCUAUUAAAGUUUUAUUAAUAAUUUAAAAUAACGUAUAAGAUAAAUCUACAAAUUAAACCACAAUUACCAAUUAUCAGUGAAGCAUGUAAAAUCAAACCUCUCUUCAACAAAUAAUAGUAUAGAUGAUUGAACAAUUUUCCUUGUUUUGGUAAUUCCUACAAACAUUAGUUUAAUUGCAUUUUAUAUGAGUUUUCUCUUCAUCAAAGUUCAUAGUGACUACCUAUUAACAAAAUAUACAAUAAUUAAAAACAUACUUCUAUUUAACUAAAAAAAUAUAAACCAAAAGUAAUAUAUUAUAUAUGUCUUAUAAAAACUGGAUUUUGUUUUUUUAAUUUACAACGACAAGAUGAUUCACUCACAUAAAAAAAAAGCUUCUUUUUCAAAAUAUUAAAUAAAAACAUUAAAGAUUUAAUAUUACUAAAGUAAACAUAAGAUAAACAUAACUAUAAAAUUAUUGCUCAAAUUUGAUAAUACUCGUUAAUAAUAAUUAUCCUGAAUAUAAUUAAAAUAUUUAUUAAAUAAUCACUAAAAUUGUAUAAAAACUAACAAUUCAAAAUUUUAUUUAUAAAAAUUAAUGACAACCUAAAAUCAUGGAAUAUGACGAAUAAGUUUCUAAAACUAACAAAACAUGACAAAUAAUCAAAAUAACUUAAAAUCACUGAGAACAUGGCUUAUAAGAAAUUUUAAUUAUUUAAAUAAUUUUAAAUAUUAAAUUAAUUGGAAGAUAUAAUUUUUUUUUAUUACAACGCAACUUAAAUAACGGUUUGGUAUUUGCAAAAUCUUUUAUUUAUUCUAUCACCAAACCACACAUGUAAAGAGUAUCAUCAUCAUAAUAACCUAUUAAAGUUUUAUUAAUAAUUUAAAAUAACGUAAAAGAUAAAUCUACAAAUUAAACCACAAUUACCAAUUAUCAGUGAAGCAUGUGAAAUCAAAUCUCUCUUCAUCAAAUAAUAGUAUAGAUGAUUGAACAAUUUUCCUUGUUUUGGUAAUUCCUACAAACAUUAGUUUAAUUGUAUUUUAUAUGAAUUUUCUCUUCUUCAAAGUUCAUAGUGACUACCUAUUAACAAAAUAUACAAGAAUUAACAAGAUGAUUCACUCACAUAAAAAAAAAGCUUCUUUUUCAAAAUAUUAAAUAAAAACAUUAAAGAUUUAAUAUUACUAAAGUAAACAUAAGAUGAAUUAAAAACAUAUUUCUAUUUAAAUAAAAAUUUAAAAACUAAAAAUAAUAAAUUAAAUAUGUCUAGUGAAACUGAUUUUUUUUUAAUUUACAAGGACAAGAGAUUGUAUUCUUUGGACUCAUAGUUUUUGAUUGAAGAUGAUUCCCUGAAAUAAAGAGAAGAAAGCUUCCUUAAAAAUAAUAAUAAAUAAAAAAAUUAAACGAUUUAGCAUUACUAAAGUAAAUAUAAGAUAAACAUAACUAUAAAAAUUAUUGCUAAAAUUUGAUAAUACUCGUUAAUAAUAAUUCUCCUGAAUAUGAUAAAAAUAUUUACUAAAUAAUAACUAAAAUUGUUUAGAAACUAACAGUUCAAAAAUAUACUAUUAAAGCAGAAUACACUUCGGGAUAUUUCCACUAAUUGCCUCUACCAUUCUAUCUAAAGUCUAAACUGUGUCUUUCAUUAAGGGUAAUUUGGAUAUUUGCAAACAUUUAAUUACGUACAAUAUUUUCUUAUUUUCUUUCUAUUUAUUUUCUUAUUAAUACUUUUAAAAAUAAAAAAAUCUUACUGUAAAUCGUGGUAAGCAAAAUUUUAGGGGCCUAACAAGAUUUAGAAUAUCUAUAUUCUUGAGUUUAUAGGAAAUCAUUUAUACAAAAAGUCCCUAUAUCUAUUUACACAUGAAAUAUAUUUAAGAUCAUUAUAUCUACAAAGUGUAAACGUCCCACAUUGAAACUUUGUGAAAUUCAUCAGCAAAAAUGAUUACUAUAAUUUCAUGCAUUCAAUAUUUAAAUAUUUAUAAUAAAAUCUUUGAACCAAAAUUUGGAUGCAAUCCAAUCACAAGAUUUUCUCUUUUUCUCUACUAACAAGAUAUUCCAAAAAUAGUAUUACCUUAUAAGCAUAAGAUUUUUCAGAGAAUUUAUUUAAGAAUAUUCUAUUUCAAAGCUUAUCGUGAAAGCUAGGUCAUUUAGAAAUAUUUACCGAUCUACUAUAUAUAUGAUAUUCACAGCAGAAAAACGAAGUCAUUGAAUUUUCUGAUGCUAAAUUUUUGAUGCUUUCAACUUAGUAUUUUUUUUUUAGAAUGUAAAGAUAUAUAUAUAUAUAUAUAUAUAUACAUAUAUUUUUGGUUUGCUGAUUCUGUUUUUUUUUAUGUGCUGAUGAACUAUCAUAAUGAUUCUUCAUUUCAAUCCACAUAUGAUUUGAUUAUUUUUAUUUUCUUUUGUACUUCUUAUUUUCUUCAAUCAUGUUAUUUAACAUGUCAUCUUUUGUAAUGUACACUACGAUAAAUAUCCGCGUUUUGAAAAAAUAUCCGCGUUUUGAAAAUGUGGAUCAAAAUCAAGUUAUUUAUUAAAACUAAUGAUUUAAUCUAAAAUUAUGGAAUAUGACAAAUAAGAUUCUAAAAUUAAUUAAACAUUACAAAUAAGCAAAAUAACCUAAAAACAUGGAAAAAAUGACAAGUAAGAAAAGUCACUAAUAUUAAUAUAGAUUUCAGUUGAGAGUGCGCAUAUCAUAUAUGUCCACUGAUAAUAACAUUAUUAAUCAUGCAAAAUUUUAUUUUAUGAUAUAACUCAAUAUUAAAUUGUGUGAUUACGUUGACGUAACCGGCUAUUAGAGAAAUGAACUCAAAUAUACCCGAAAUAAGUUUUUGUUUCCAAACUAGUUUUAAAAGGUCAAAAUGUUCAAAUAAGUUUUAUUAAAGAGAUAAAUGAGAAUUAUAAAUCUUCUUGUAAGUUUUAUUAAAGGUCAAAAUUAUCAAAAUAAAUUUUAUCAAAUUUAGAAAGAUAUCAUUCAUAUUUAGGAAGAACUUCUUAAAUAUACAUACAAUUUACAUUCAAGAUUACACAUUUAUAAACCAUUCCUCAAUUCAGGAAAUUAUUUUUACAAAUUUAGAAAGAUAUCCUACAUGCUAAGGAAGGUUUUCCUAGGAUUGUUUUAAAAGGAGUUAUUGGAAAUAUAUAUUUUAGAAAAAGAAAUUUUGAAAAAGAUAUUUUGACUUUGUUAUUUUUUUUUAAUAAUUUUAUAUUAUGAUUAUCUAAAAUUGUAAACGAUGAUAUAAUUGUCAUUACCCAUUUAAUGAAACAUAUUUUGAUCACUUUAAUUUUGGAGCUAUCUAAAAUACACUAAAGUGGAAAAAAAUAUUUAGGAGAUUUUCUCCAACUAUUAUUAUUUAGUGAUUUUAUGAAGACCCAUAAGUAAUCAAUUUUACAGCUAAUUAUUAAUAUAUGCGUCAUUUAAAAACCAUCAUGAUAAUAAUUUUGUUUCUCUUCAUAUUUUAAACCAAUCAUUAAAUUAUAUAUACGGGGGUUUUAAUAAAAAUAUAUAUAAUCAUCAAAUUUUGGAAACAUUGAAGUAUUAUAAAUAAUUAAAAAAAUUCUUUAUACACUAUAUUCAUUGAUUAUACAAAAUUAUUUAUUUACUUGAUUAGUAUUUAAUUAUUCAUCUGUUUUUCUUAAUUUUUAAAUUUUGAUAAUUGAAAAAUAUUCUUUUUAAAUAAUAACACAAUAUAUAUUAGUUUUUAAUGUGUUUUUAGUCUUAAAUUGUUUUUUUUAUAAUUUUAAUUUAUAAUUAGUUAUAUAAUCUAAAUAAUAAAUCUAGUUAUUCAUUAAGGUAUCAAUGAUAUUAAACUUUUCCAUUGGAUUCUGAAAUCAAAGCAAGUGAUUAAUUUUAAAAUUCUAUAAUCUUAACCACAAAGAAAUACACAACAAUAUCUGAUUCUAAUUAUACAGCCAAAACACGUGUCCAGGUGAGAAAGGAUGCCAUAAAAAAUCAAGAACCAAUUGAUGAACACCAAAUAAUAAAGAGAAGAAACAAAUAAAACAAAACAAAUUUCGUUUGAGUGCCAAAAAAAGAAUGAAAUAAUACAUUAACAAAAUGGGUAAAAUAGAGAAUCUAGCACGGGGUCCACAUGAGCUAAAACGGUGGAGAAGUCCGUCGUUUGAAUGUCGAAUAAAAAGGAGGAGACGUUUUUCCCUCUGCAAUAGAACCUAUCUCUCUCGGGUGUCAGUGUUAUCAAGUGUUGAAACGACAGAGAGGGACGCCGUUUCGUGGAGAACGGAAAGAGAUGUCAGGUCUCGAGAAUAUCAAGAACGAGAAUGUUGAUCUGGUAUUUUAUUCAUUCCUAUCUUCUGGCUUAAUCAAUUGUUAUCAUGCACACAAACUGUUGGAUGAUUUCAUUAAACGUGAGUAUAGAUCUGUUUUGUUAUCGUUUUGCAUGAUUGUUCUUACUGUUAAAAUGUUUCUUUCACGAUUAAUUCCUAAUGAAAAUUAGCCCUUGCCUCCAAAUGUUAAAAAACUAAUAUACAUAGACGGUAUAGCCCCAAAUAUUUAUGGUUCCUUAAAAAAUAUUGGAUGGUAUUCUUGAAACAGUUCCUUAAAUCCCCACCCCUUAAAUCUCAGAUUUGUCUACCUAUUUAUUUCAAAGAUAAAACAUGAACUUCAUAACAACUUUUGCACUUGAAACAGAGGUGGAGCUAAGCUACGUCACAAUAAAUUGCUUUCAUAUAGUAUUAAUUAAAAUUUAUUUUGCUUCUGAGAGAGACUUUUUUUUUCUGAAAAUAUUUUUGUAAAAUAAGUUUCUUACUGUUAAAUCAGCUCCUAAUAUUAGGGAUGUCAUCUGCAAUAUUUAAGUCCACUCGGUCCGGUCCAAAAAUAUUUUGAGCCUACAUUUUAAAGACAUGUCGGUUCUAAUAAAAUUAAACGGCUUUUAAAGAUGGGUUUCCUACAUAAUUUAUUAUUAUGUUGUAUCUAUCAUUUUAACUAUUUUAAAAUAUUUAAGUUUUUAUAAAAAAAACAUAUUCACUUUUUCAUGUUCAAAAAUGUUUUAUAACAAAAAUGUUUUAUACGCAGUAAACCAUAAUUUAAGUAAACUAUAUUUAAAAAGAUUUAUAUAAUCAGAUGCAAAUUAAAAUUAAAUAUAUAAGAAAACAAAAUUUAUGUCAAAAGGUCGUCAAAUGUUCCAUAUUUUGUAUUUUUAUAAUAUUUUUUACAUAAACAAGAAGCAGAUUUAUCGGAAUUAGCAUGUGUCUCUUGUAUUGAGUGAACGUUUAAGUAUUUUCACAACAUCCAUAUUUGCUUUGCUAGAGUUUGUAUCAAGAAAUAUGCCAAUAACAAAACAUCUUCGGUCACAUAAAUGAUCCUAGUACACUAAAAUGUAAAGAUUAGAGUUUUUUUUGUGCUGGUCCUAUCCCAAAUAGAUUAAACCCAAAACAUCAAUGAAUAAUCCAAAAAACUCAUUUUUUGGGUGUUUAUAAUUAAACCCAAACUCGAAACUUUAUAGGACAUAACAGGUUUGUGUUUAAACUCUAAUUAACAUGUCUACCUUUUUUUUUUCUCAAUUGAAAUUUUCAUUAAAGGGCAAAAAGCCCAUAACACAUAUUAGAAAAAACCCAAGGAAACGGGCCCAAAGAAAACAAAUCACAAGCAUGGUCCAAGGCCCAUCUGCGAUACCCAAUGAUCCCGAAGGAGCUCCGCCGCCGCGCGGACAAACGCUGCGGCUCCGACGACGCCUCCCUUCGAAACGCCACCAGUUACACCUAAUAUUCUUUUUUUUUGAAAUUGAAUUUCAUUCAUUGAAAAGAUACAAGGUAGAAUACAUAAGUACACGGAAAAAUCCCCGGAAACAUAACCUAAUAUUCUAUCGUCCAUCCAUAAAAAUACAUCCCAAAAUACAAAUAAUUUUUAAUUACACUAGAAACUCUAUAAACUAAUACUCGAUAAACUAAUAACACAGUAAAUUAAUAAACUUAUUCAGCGCCGAUUUGGACUAGUUUAAAAUAUGACACAAAUUAAUAAAAUAAUAAGAUAAUAAUUUUUAGAAAAUCCUAGAUAAAGAUAUAGUCCCAUUAAAAUUUUAAAUUAAUAAUAUAUAUAUAUAUAAUUUAAAUAAGUACAAACAAAAACAACAUUGUUUAUUUUAUAUUCACAAUAGAAUUCAUAUCCGUUUUUUUUUUAACGCUUCAAUAUAUUUUUAUAAUAUUUAGUAAAUUUAUAUCUAAAACAACAUUUAAAUUCUAUAAAACAUAUUUCAUAUACACCAACAAAUAUAAUAAAGCAAUAGGAAAUUCAAUUUUCUAAAAUUUAAUUAAUGAUAUACAGUAAAAUAAAAAAAUGUAAAUUAAUAAAUCUGUAAUAAAAUAUCAUAGUCUUGAUAUUAUUAAUUAUAUAUUUUUACUGUAUAAAAGGAUAUAAUUUUAUUUUUAGGAUUUGUUGUACCUUUCCGUACGUUGUUUUUGACAUCUUUGUCUUUUAGCAAAACAUUGUUCAAUAGACACUAACUUGAGUCCAUAUGAAUGUGGAGCUAUGAGUUUGGUAUGAAUAUGUUUAAAUUGCUGGAAAAAAAAGACACUAACUUGAGUUUAAUCGCUUCGAGAUUGCAUGAAACUGAAAAGUUAUUUUUAAAAUAUUUCCCCUUUGGUUUGAAAACAUUACACCAAUCCUAUAAAAGUUCUUUCAAGAUUUGUAUGAAACUAAAAACGUUUUGUUUUUUUUUUUAAUAUAAAAAAUACCCUUUUGUUUGGUUUGAAACAUUACAACAAUCGUGUGUAUGAAUUUUUUUUGUAACUGAUGUGUAUGAAUUACUGAUCGAAACUUUGGUUGGGUUCUCAGGAAAAAAUUCCAAUUGAGGAAGUUUUCCAGCUGUUAAAAUGUACAAGUGAAGGGUUAACGACGCAGGAAGGGGAGGACAGGAUCCAGUUAUUUGGCCCCAACAAGCUCGAAGAGAAGAAGGUUUGAGUUUGACUUAAAGAGCUUUGGUUUUGUAGAAUGUUGGUGCGAGUUUCUGAAAACUCACAAGUUUGAUCUUCCCAUUUAAAACUUAAACAGGAAAGCAAGAUUCUCAAGUUUCUGGGGUUCAUGUGGAAUCCGCUUUCAUGGGUUAUGGAAGCUGCGGCUAUCAUGGCCAUUGCUUUGGCCAAUGGUGAUGGCAGACCUCCGGAUUGGCAAGAUUUUGUUGGUAUCAUCUGUCUGCUUGUUAUCAACUCCACUAUCAGUUUCAUUGAAGAAAACAAUGCUGGUAAUGCUGCAGCUGCUCUCAUGGCUGGUCUUGCUCCUAAAACCAAGGUAAUGUGUUGUAUCAUGUUGUGUUUCUGAAAUCUUUUUUUUCUUUGAGAACUAAUCUUUAUUCAGGGUAUCAAUGAUAUUAAUCGAUUUAACUUUUAACUUCAGAGUUCAAAUGCAAAAAAUCAGUUCACAAAUAAUAAUAUAGAUCUAAAAAUUGAAAGUAUUUUUGUUUUUUGUAUUAAAUUUGGCUGUUAUUUUUUUUUUUGAAACUUUUCUUGAGCUUAACCUGUUUUGUUUGCUUUGUUUUUGUUUUUCUUCUCAGGUUCUUAGGGAUGGAAAAUGGAGUGAACAAGAAGCUGCUAUACUUGUCCCAGGUGAUAUUGUUAGCAUUAAACUUGGAGACAUCAUCCCAGCCGAUGCCCGUCUUCUCGAAGGUGAUCCUUUAAAGGUUGAUCAGUCUGCUCUAACCGGAGAGUCUCUCCCUGUGACCAAGCACCCUGGUCAAGAAGUUUACUCUGGUUCAACUUGCAAGCAAGGAGAAAUCGAAGCAGUUGUUAUAGCUACAGGAGUCCGCACCUUCUUUGGUAAAGCUGCUCACCUUGUGGACAGCACUAACCAAGUUGGCCACUUCCAGAAAGUUCUCUCGUCCAUUGGAACCUUCUGUAUCUGCUCAAUUGCUACCGGUAUGGUGAUUGAAAUAAUAGUCAUGUACGGUAUUCAAAAAAGGAAGUACAGAGAUGGAAUUGACAACCUCUUGGUCCUCUUGAUCGGUGGUAUCCCCAUCGCUAUGCCGACGGUGCUGUCCGUGACUAUGGCUAUUGGCUCUCACAGGCUGUCUCAGCAAGGUGCCAUCACCAAACGUAUGACUGCCAUAGAAGAACUGGCGGGGAUGGAUGUCCUGUGCAGUGACAAAACCGGGACGCUAACACUCAAUAAACUGAGUGUGGACAAGGACUUGGUCGAGGUUUUCUGCAGGGGAGUUGAGAAAGGUCAAGUCUUAUUAUUUGCAGCCAUGGCUUCUAGGAUUGAGAACCAGGAUGCUAUUGAUGCAGCCAUGGUUAAUAUGCUUGGUGAUCCAAGGGAGGCCCGAGCUGGGAUCAAGGAGGUUCACUUCCUUCCAUUCAACCCUGUGGACAAGAGAACUGCUUUGACUUACAUCGACUCUGAUGGUAACUGGCAUAGAGUCAGCAAAGGCGCACCCGAGCAGAUCCUCGACCUUGCUAAUGCCAGGCCUGCGCUUAGGCAGAAGGCACUCGCUACUAUUAACAACUACGCAGAGCGCGGUCUUAGGUCAUUGGCAGUAGCUCGUCAGGUACUUAUUUAUAGGUCUAAGUUUAUAUCACAAAAAUAGCACUCAAUAACUAAAAUGAACAAAAUAGUAUUUUAUCUUUUGAAAAAUUUAAAUUUUUUUAUUUUUCAUAAUUUGAAAUCUUAUCCCCAAAACCUCACUUCUCAACUCUAAACCCUAAAACCUAAACUCUAAACCCUAAAUUCUAAACCCUAAACGCCACCCUUUGAGUGCUAUUUUUGUGACUUUUGGCCUUGAGUGCUAGUUUGGGAACAAAAACUUGAUUUAGUGCUAUUUUGGUCUUUUUCUCUUAUUUAUAUUACACCAGAGAUCUCUUCUUUUUUUUUUUGCAUUAACUCAGUUCUUGUUCCUUUUUUUUUAGUUGGUCCCUGAGAAAACAAAAGAAAGCUCAGGUGGACCAUGGGAGUUUGUUGGCUUGUUGCCUCUCUUUGACCCUCCAAGACAUGACAGUGCUGAAACCAUUCGUAGGGCUUUGAACCUUGGUGUUAACGUUAAAAUGAUUACUGGUAACUAUACUUAAAUUCACCGUAUUAUUAUUAUUUCAUCAAAAAAAAAACAUGGCUAUUUAAGAUGUUUUCACUUAACUACAUUGCCAGGUGAUCAACUUGCUAUAAUAUGCUUGGUGAUCCAAGGGAGGCCCGAGCUGGGAUCAAGGAGGUUCACUUCCUUCCAUUCAACCCUGUGGACAAGAGAACUGCUUUGACUUACAUCGACUCUGAUGGUAACUGGCAUAGAGUCAGCAAAGGCGCACCCGAGCAGAUCCUCGACCUUGCUAAUGCCAGGCCUGCGCUUAGGCAGAAGGCACUCGCUACUAUUAACAACUACGCAGAGCGCGGUCUUAGGUCAUUGGCAGUAGCUCGUCAGGUACUUAUUUAUAGGUCUAAGUUUAUAUCACAAAAAUAGCACUCAAUAACUAAAAUGAACAAAAUAGUAUUUUAUCUUUUGAAAAAUUUAAAUUUUUUUAUUUUUCAUAAUUUGAAAUCUUAUCCCCAAAACCUCACUUCUCAACUCUAAACCCUAAAACCUAAACUCUAAACCCUAAAUUCUAAACCCUAAACGCCACCCUUUGAGUGCUAUUUUUGUGACUUUUGGCCUUGAGUGCUAGUUUGGGAACAAAAACUUGAUUUAGUGCUAUUUUGGUCUUUUUCUCUUAUUUAUAUUACACCAGAGAUCUCUUCUUUUUUUUUUUGCAUUAACUCAGUUCUUGUUCCUUUUUUUUUAGUUGGUCCCUGAGAAAACAAAAGAAAGCUCAGGUGGACCAUGGGAGUUUGUUGGCUUGUUGCCUCUCUUUGACCCUCCAAGACAUGACAGUGCUGAAACCAUUCGUAGGGCUUUGAACCUUGGUGUUAACGUUAAAAUGAUUACUGGUAACUAUACUUAAAUUCACCGUAUUAUUAUUAUUUCAUCAAAAAAAAAACAUGGCUAUUUAAGAUGUUUUCACUUAACUACAUUGCCAGGUGAUCAACUUGCUAUUGGUAAGGAAACUGGUCGCAGGCUUGGGAUGGGAACCAAUAUGUAUCCAUCUGCGGCUCUUCUCGGUACCGACAGGGACUCAAACAUUGCCUCCGUUCCUAUUGAGGAGUUGAUUGAGAAGGCUGAUGGGUUUGCUGGCGUCUUUCCAGGUUACUCAGUCUUAAAACCAAAUCAUAAUUAGAAAAAUGUUUUGUUAUAUUGAUUGAUUGAUCCAAGGUUUUAUUGUUUCAGAGCACAAAUAUGAGAUUGUGAAAAAGCUGCAAGAGAUGAAACACAUUGUUGGAAUGACUGGUGAUGGUGUCAAUGAUGCUCCUGCUUUGAAGAAAGCUGACAUUGGUAUUGCUGUGGCUGAUGCUACUGAUGCUGCUCGUGGUGCUUCUGAUAUCGUUCUCACCGAACCUGGUUUGAGUGUUAUCAUCAGUGCAGUGCUCACUAGCAGAGCUAUCUUCCAGAGAAUGAAGAACUAUACAGUGCACAUUCUAUUAAUUUUUUUUUAGUCUUAUUCUUAUAUUAUGACCACUACUCUGUAGGAAACUAAUAACUAUUUUUUUCUCAUGCAUGUGACAGAUUUAUGCAGUCUCAAUCACAAUCCGUAUUGUUGUAAGUAAUCACAAACCAAACAUCUAUCACUUGUUUCUUUUAUUGUAUAUACUGAUCAUAUUGUAACUUUUUGCAGUUUGGUUUCAUGCUCAUUGCUCUGAUAUGGGAAUUUGACUUCUCAGCCUUCAUGGUUCUGAUUAUUGCCAUCCUUAAUGAUGGUGAGAAAAUGACCAUAUAACCUCUUAAUAUUAUAACUAGUUGUUAUGGUAAUAAUGUGUUGCUGUCUUUUAGGUACUAUCAUGACAAUCUCAAAGGAUAGAGUCAAGCCAUCUCCAACACCUGAUAGCUGGAAGCUCAAUGAAAUCUUUGCCACUGGAAUUGUGUUGGGAGGCUACCAAGCCGUUAUGAGUGUGAUUUUCUUCUGGGUGAUUCACAAGACUGACUUCUGCUCGGUGUGUGUUAGGGAUUAUAUAGAUAAAUAUUGUGUAAGAAACUAUUACUUACCUUUUACUUGCAGGACAAGUUUGGUGUGAGGUCAAUCAGGGACAAUAACGAUGAACUAAUGUCUGCUGUGUACCUACAAGUUAGUAUCAUCAGUCAAGCGCUUAUAUUCGUCACGAGGUCAAGGAGCUGGUCAUUCGUUGAACGUCCUGGGGCGCUUCUGAUGAUUGCAUUCGUCAUUGCACAACUGGUAAUUAAGAACAUCAUAUAUUUUCAGGAAUUCCAGAAAAGAAACUCAUCUCACUCUUCCUUCCUUCCAAAUGCAGGUUGCUACUUUGAUUGCAGUGUAUGCAGACUGGACUUUUGCAAGGGUGAAAGGUAUAGGUUGGGGAUGGGCUGCCGUGAUUUGGGUUUACAGUAUUUUAACAUACAUCCCACAAGAUAUUUUGAAGUUUGCCAUUAGAUACAUCUUGAGUGGAAAGGCUUGGGUCAGCAUGUUUGACAAAAGGGUACGUACACACAACUAACUCUCUUUUACAUCUUGAUGGUAAACAUAAUAAUACUCAUUGCUUCUGCUGUUACUUUGUGAGCAGACCGCUUUGACGACCAGGAGAGAUUACGGUGCUGGAGAAAGACAAGCUGAGUGGGCAAGAGAACAAAGGACGCAGCACGGUCUGCAGACAAGGCAAGAGGUCAACGUCUUCCCAGAGAACGGGGGUUACAGAGAGCUGUCUCAGAUCGUUGAGCAAGCCAAGAAAAGGGCCGAGAUAGCUAGGUAAGUGUACUUUGAUUAAAUCGAUCUCAACGGAAGAAACUGGAAUUUUCUUGAUUUUUAUUAAUUGGUGAAUGCUUUGUUGUGACAGGCUUAGGGAGAUUCACACAUUUAAGGGACAUGUUGAAUCAGUCGCAAAGCUAAAGGGCUUGGACAUUGAUACAUCAGGACAUCACUACACUCUGUAGUUGCCAUAACUAUUCCCAAAAACUCUCUUUUUUUCUAUUGUUAGUCAUUGUUCCUAAACUUCUAAAAUAGAGCUAACUCGGUGUCCCGGACGAUUCCAAAGAUCUCAACCGAAGAAAGCUUUUGAGUUACUUUACUUGCUUUGACAAACACUUGACAAUCUGAUUUUAUACAGAUUUUUGAGAUGCCGAAGUAUUUUGCACUGAUCAGAGCUGAUCGAAUUGCUAAAGUGUUAGGAGUGAAUCCAAUCACUCCUUUGAUACCUUUGAACACAAGUUGCUUUGAUACCAAUCAAUGUUCCUCCUCGAAGCUAAGAGAGUUUGUGAAAAACAAACUAAUAAAACAUAACACAAGUUACUUCAAUUUUCUUCUCUGACUUUUUCUUUUGGCUUUUCUCGUUUAAAUAAAGAAACUAGAACCAUAAGUUCCAACAGUUACGGAAGCAAAUUACGUAAAGGGAAACAUGGACAUCCUGAGUUACUCUCCCCUUGGAAAAAAGACACGUGCACGAGACCAUAACUAAUACAUGCAACAAUAAUAAAUAAAUAUAAUAAUCUGUUAAACCACAUACGGUUUUUUUGCCGGUUCAAUAAUUACCAACUCAUCAUAAAGCCUCUGCUUGGAGGGAGGAGGCGACCUGCAUUUCCAGAGAUGAUCAGCGAGGCACUCCGGAAUAUAAUGAAAAAUAUUUAUUAAAUAAUCACUAAUUUUUUUAAAAAACUAACAAUUCAAAUUUUAUUUAUUAAAAUUAAUGAAUCAACCUAAAAUCUUGGAAUAUGACGAAUAAGCUUCUAAAAAUUAAUAAAACAUGACAAAUAAUCAAAAUAAAUUAAAAUUAUUGAGAAUAUGGCAAGUAAGCAAUCUCACUUAUAUAAAUAAUUUCAAAUAUUAAAUUAAUCAGAAGAUAUAAUUUUACCUUUUUUUAUUACAACUCAACUUAGAUAAUGGUUUGGUAGUUGCAAAAUCUUUUAUUUAUUCUAUCACCAAACCACACAUGUAAAAAGUAUCAUCAUCAUAAUAACCUAAUAAAGUUUUAUUUAUACUUUCAAAUAACGUAAAAGAUAAAUCUACAAAUUAAACUACAAUUACCAAUUAUCAGUGAAGCCUAUGAAAUCAAACCCCUCUUCAUUAAAUAAUAGUAUAGAUGAUUGAACAUUUUUCCUUGUUUCCGUGAUUCCUAACAAUAAUUAAAAACAUAUUUCUAUUUAACUAAAAAGUUAUAAACUAAAAGUAGUAAAUUAUAUAUGUCUUGUAAAAACUGGAUUUUUUUUUUAAUUUACAACGACAAGAUGAUUCACUCACAUAAAAAAAAGCUUCUUUUCAAAAAUAUUAAAUAAAAACAUUAAACGAUUUAAUAUUACUAAAGUAAACAUAAGAUAAACAUAACUAUACAAUUAUUGCUCAAAUUUGAUAAUACUCGUUAAUAAUAAUUAUCCUGAAUAUAAUUAAAUAUUUAUUAAAUAAUCACUGAAAUUGUAUAAAACCUAACAAUUCAAAAUUUGAUUUAUAAAAAUUAAUGACUCAACCUAAAAUCAUGGAAUGUGACGAAUAAACUUCUAAAAAUUAAUAAAACAUGACAAAUAAUUAAAAUAACUUAAAAUCACUGAGAACAUGGCAAGUAAGAAAUUUUAAUUAUUUAAAUAAUUUUAAAUAUUAAAUUAAUUAGAAGAUAUAAUUUACUUUUUUUUAUUACAACACAACUUAGAUAACGGUUUGGUACUUGCAAAAUAUUUUAUUUAUUCUAUCACCAAACCACACAUGUAAAGAGUAUCAUCAUCAUAAUAACCUAAUAAAGUUUAAUUAAUAUUUUAAAAUAACGUAAAAGAUAAAUCUACAAAUUAAACCACAAUUACCAAUUAUCAGUGAAGCAUGUGAAAUCAAACCCCUCUUCAUCAAAUAAUAGUAUAGAUGAUUGAACACUUUUCCUUGUUUUGGUAAUUCCUACAAACAUUAGUUUAAUUGUAUUUUAUAUGAAUUUUCUCUUCAUCGAAGUUCAUAGUGACUACCUAUUAACAAAAUAUACAAUAAUUAAAAAUAUAUUUUUAUUUAAACAAAAAUUUAUAAACUAAAAAUAAUAAAAUAUAUAUGUCUAGUGAAACUGAUUUUUUUUUUUAAUUUACAAGGACAAGAUAUUGUAUUCUUUGGACUCAUAGUUUUUGAUUGAAGAUGAUUCGCUGACAUAAAGAGAAGAAAGCUACUUUAAAAAAAAAACAUUAAACGAUUUAGCAUUACUAAAGUAAAUAUAAGAUAAACAUAACUAUAAAAAGUAUUUCUAAAAUUUGAUAAUACUCGUUAAUAAUAAUUCUCCUGAAUAUGAUAAAAAUAUUUAUUAAAUAAUAACUAAAAUUGUUUAGAAACUAACAAUUCAAAAAAAAAAUAUACUAUUAAAGAAGGAUACAAUUCGGGCUUUUUCCACUAAUUGCCCCUACCUUUCUAUUUAAAGUCUAAAUUGUGUCUUUCAUUAAGGGUAAUUUGGAAAUUUGCGAACAUUUAAUUACCUACAAUAUUUUAUUAUUUUCUUGCUAUUUAUUUUCCUAUUAAUAGUUUUAAAAAUAAAAAAUCUUACUAUAAAUCGUGGUAAGCAAAAUUUUAGGGGCCUAACAAGAUUUAUAUUCUUGAGUAUAUAGGAAAUAAUUUAUACAAAAAAUCUCUAUAUCUAUUUACACAUUAAAUAUAUUUAAGAUCAUUAUAUCUACAAAGUGUAAACGUCCCACAUUGAAACUCUGUGAAAUUCAUCAGCAAAAAUGAUUACUAUAAUUUCAUGCAUUCAAUAUUUAAAUAUUUAUAGUAAAAUCUUCGAACCAAAAUUUGGAUGCAAUCCAAUCACAAGAUAUUAUCUUUUUCUUUACUAACAAGAUAUUCCAAAAAUAGUCUUACCUUAUAAGCAUAAGAUUUUUCAGAGAAUUUAUUUGAGAAUACUCUAUUUCAAAGCUUAUCGUGAAAGUUAGAUCAUUUAGAAACGUUUACCGAUCUACUAUAUAUAUGACAUUUACAGCAGAAAAACGAAGUCACUGAAUUUUCUGAUGCUAACUUUUUGAUGCUUUCAACUUAGUAUUUUUUUAUAUUUUAGAAUGUAAAUAUUUUAUAUAUAUAUAUAUAUAUAUACAUAUAUUUUUGGUUUGCUGAUACUGUUUUUUUUUAAUGUGCUGAUGAACUAUCAUAAAGAUUCUUCAUUUCAAUCCACAUAUGAUUUGAUUAUUUUUCAUUUUUUUCUCAUUUUUUACUUCUCAUUUUUUUCAGUCAUGUUAUUUAACAUGUCAUCUUUUGUAAUGUACACUGCGAUAAAUAUUUGUAAGUUUAAAACGUUGAGAAUAUUAUGAUAAGUAUUCACGUCAACAUUGUUAUGAACAUAAUGACGAUUUAACUUAUUUUACUUAUGUAAAAUGAAAGUUCAAUAAUAUAUAUAACUGAACUUAAAAAAUAUAUGACACAUUUAUAUGAGACUCGCAAAGGAAAAAAUAUCCGCUUUUUGAAAAUGCGGAUCAAAUCUAGUUAUUUAUUAAAACUAAUGAUUUAAUCUAAAAUUAUGGAAUAUGGCAAAUAAGCUUCUAAAGUUAAUUAAACAUUACAAAUAAGCAAAAUAACCUAAAAACAUGGAAAAAAAUGGCACGUAAGAAAAAUCACUAAUAAUAAAAUAGAUUUCAGUUGAGAGUGCGCAUAUCAUAUAUGUCCACAGAUAAUAACAAUAUUAAUCAUGAUUUUUUUUUAUUUUAUGAUAUAACUCAAUAUUAAAUUGUGUGAUUACAUUGAAGUAACCGACUAUUAGAGAAAUGAGCUCAAAUAUAUCCGAAACAAGUUUUUGUUUCCAAACUAGUUUUAAAAGGUCAAAAUGAUCAAAAUAAGUUUUAUUAAAAAGAUAAAUGACAAUUAUAAAUCUUAUUGUAAGUUUUAUUAAAGGUCAAAAUGAUCAAAAUAAAUUUUAUCAAAUUUAGAAAGAUAUCAUACAGAUUUAGGAAGAAAUUCUUAAAUAUACAUACAAUUUACAUUCAAGAUUACACAUUUAUAAACCAUUCCUCAAUUCAGGAAAUUAUUUUACAAAUUCAGAAAGAUAUCCUACAUGCUAAGGAAGGUUUUCCUAGGAUUGUUUUAAAAGGAGUUAUUGGAAAUAUAUAAUUUAGAAAAAGAAAAUUUGAAAAACAUAUUUUGACUUUGUUAUUUUUAAUUUUUUUUUAUAAUUUUGAUAUAUUGUGAUUAUCUAAAAUUGUAAACGAUGAUAUAAUUGUCAUUACCCAUUUAAUGAAACAUAUUUUGAUCACUUUAAUUUUGGAGCUAUCUAAAAUACACUAAAGUGGAAAAAAAAUAUUUAGGAGAUUUUCUCCAACUAUUAUUAUUUAGUGAUUUUAUGAAGACCCAUAAGUAAUCAAUUUUACAGCUAAUUAUUAAUAAAUGCGUAAUUUAAAAACCAUCAUGAUAAUAAUUUUGUUUCUCUUCAUAUUUUAAACCAAUCAUUAAAUUAUAUAUACGGGUUUUUUAAUAAAAAUAUAUAUAAUCAUCAAAUUUUGGAAACAUUGAAGUAUUAUAAAUAAUUUAAAAAUCUCUUUAUACACUAUAUUCAUUGAUUAUACAAAAUUAUUUAUUUACUUGAUUAGUAUUUAAUUAUGCAUCUGUUUUUCUUAAUUGAAAAAUAUUCUUUUUAAAUAAUAACACAAUAUAUAUUAGUUUUUAAUGUGUUUUUAAUCUUAAUUUUUUUUUUAUAAUUUUAAUUUAUAAUCAGUUAUCUAAUCUAAUAAAUAAAUCUAGUUAUUCAUUAAGGUAUCAAUGAUAUUAACUUUUCCAUUGGAUUUCGAAAUCAAAACAAGUGAUUAAUUUUAAAAUUCUUGAAUCUUAACCACAAAGAAAUACACAAUAAUAUCUGAUUCUAAUUAUACAGCCAAAACACGUGUCCAGGUGAGAAAGGAUGCCAUAAAAAAUCAAGAACCAAUUGAUGAACACCAAAUAAUAAAGAGAAGAAACAAAUAAAACAAAUCAAAUUUGGUUUGAGUGCCGAAAAAAGAAUGAAAUAAUACAUUAACAAAAUGGGUAAAAUAGAGAAUCUAGCACGGGGUCCACAUGAGCUAAAACGGUGGAGAAGUCCGUCGUUUGAAUGUCGAAUAAAAAGGAGGAGACGUUUUUCCCUCUGCAAUAGAACCUCUCUCUCUCGGGUGUCUGUGUUAUCAAGUGUUGAAACGACAGAGAGGGACGCCGUUUCGUGGAGAACGGAAAGAGAUGUCAGGUCUCGAGAAUAUCAAGAACGAGAAUGUUGAUCUGGUAUUUUAUUCAUUCCUAUCUUCUGGCUUAAUCAAUUGUUAUCAUGCACACAAAACUGUUGGAUGAUUUCAUUGAACGUGAGUAUAGAUCUGUUUUGUUACCGUUUUGCAUGAUUGCUCUUGCUGUUAAAAUGUUUCUUUCACGAUUAAUUCCUAAUGAAAAUUAGCCCUUGCCUCCAAAUGUUAAAAAACUAAUAUACAUAGACGGUAUAGCCCCAAAUAUUUAUGGUUCCUUAAAAAUAUUGGAUGGGAUUCUGAAACAGUUCCUUAAAUCCCCACCCCUUAAAUCUCAGAUUUGUCUACCUAUUUAUUUCAAAGAUAAAACAUGAACUUCAUAACUUUUAGGGUAUUUAGCCAAGAACAGAGGGGAUUAUAGUUCAUAACAACUUUUGCACUUGAAACAGAGGCGGAGCUAAGCUACGUCACAAUAAAUUGCUUUCAUAUAGUAUUAAUUAAAUUUUAUUUUGCUUCUGAGAGACACUUCUUUUUUUUUUUUCUGAAAAUCUUGUUGUAAGAUAAUUUUUUACUGUUAAAUCAGCUUCUAAUAUUAGGGAUGUCAAUCAAAUCUGCAAUAUUUAAGUCCAGUCAGUCCGGUCUAAAAAUAUUUUGAGCCUAUACUUUAAGGACAUGUCGGCUCUAAUAAAAUUAAAGGGCUUUUAAAAAUGAGUUUCCUAAAUAAUUUAUUAUUAUGUUGUAUCUAUCAUUUUAUUUUAAAAUAUUUAAGUUCUUAUAAAAAAAACAUUUUCACAUUUUCAUGUUCAAAAAUGUUUUAUAACAAUAAUGUUUUAUACGCAUUAAACCAUAAUUUAAGUAAACUAUAUUUAACAAGAUUUAUAUAAUCAUAUGUAAAUUAAAAUUAAAUAUAUAAGAAAACAAUAUUUAUGUCAAAAGGUCGUCAAAUGUUCCAUAUUUUGUAUUUUUAUAAUAUUUUUUACAUAAACAAGAAGCACAUUUAUCGGAAUUAGCGUGUGUCUCUUGUAUUGAUUGAACGUUUAAGUAUUUUCACAUCCAUAUUUGCUUUGCUAGAGUUUGUAUCAAGAAAUAUGCCAAUACCAAAACAUCUUCGGUCACAUAAAUGAUCCUAGUUAAACUAAAAUGUAAAGAUUAUAGUUUUUUGUGCUGGUCCUAUCCCAAGUAGAUUAAACCCAAAACAUCAAUGAAUAAUCCAAAAAACUCAUUUUUGGGUGUAUAUAAUUAAACCCAAACUCGAUACUUUAUAGGACAUAACAGGUUUGUGUUUAAACUCUAAUUAACAUGUCUACCUAAUAUAUAUAUAUAUUUUUUGAAAUUGAAUUUCAUUCACCGGAAAGAUACAAGGUAGAAUACAUAAGUACACGAAAAAAUCUCCGGAAACAUAACCUAAUAUUCUAUCGUCCAUCCAUAAAAAUACGUCCCAAAAUACAAAUAAUUUUUAAUUACACUAUAAACUCUAUAAACUAAUAUUCGAUAAACUAAUAACACAAUAAACUAAUAACACAAUAAAUUAAUAAAUUAAUAAAUUAAUAAAUUUAUUCAGCGCGGAGCUGGACUAGUUUAAAAUAUGACACAAAUCGAUAAAAUAAUAAGAUAAUAAUUUUUAGAAAAUCCUAGAUAAAGAUAUAGUCCCAUUAAAAUUUUAAAUUAAUAAUAUACAUAUAAUUUAUAUAAGUACAAACAAAAACAACAUUGUUUAUUUUAUAUUCACAAUAGAAUUCAUAUCUGUUUUUUUUCUUAACACUUCAAUAUAUUUUUUAUAAUAUUUAGUAAAUUUAUAUCUAAAACAACAUUUAAAUUCUAUAAAACAUAUUUCAUAUACACCAACAAAUAUAAUAAAACAAUAGGAAAUUUAAUUUUCUAAAAUUUAAUUAAUGUAUAUACGGUAAAAUAAAAAAUGUAAAUUAAUAACUCUGUAAUAAAAUAUCAUAGUCUGAAUAUUAUUAAUUAUAUAUUUUUACUGUAUAAAAGGAUAUAAUUUUAUUUUUAGGAUUUGUUGUACCUUUAGGUACGUUGUUUUUCACAUCUUUAUCUUUUAGGAAAACAUUGUUCAAUAGACACUAACUUGAGUCUAUAUGAAAGUGGAGCUAUCAGUUUUGUUUGCAGAAUCCGUAAGACUCUGUUUAAAUUCCUUUAAAUUGCGGAGAGAAAAAAAAGACACUAACUUGAGUCAACACCACCAAGUCGCCGAGUUUGAUCGCUUCGAGAUUGCAUGAAACUGAAAAGUUAUUUUUAAAAUAUUUUCCCUUUGGUUUGGUUUGAAAACAUUACACCAAUCCUAUAAAAGUUCUUUCAAGAUUUGUGUGAAGCUAAAAACGUUUUUUUUUUUUGUUUAAUAUAAAAAAUACCCUUUUGUUUGGUUUGAAACAUUACAACAAUCGUGUGUAUGAAUUUUUUUUGUAACUGAUGUGUAUGAAUUACUGAUCGAAACUUUGGUUGGGUUCUCAGGAAAAAAUUCCAAUUGAGGAAGUUUUCCAGCUGUUAAAAUGUACAAGUGAAGGGUUAACGACGCAGGAAGGGGAUGACAGGAUCCAGUUAUUUGGCCCCAACAAGCUCGAAGAGAAGAAGGUUUGAGUUUGACUUAAAGAGCUUUGGUUUUGUAGAAUGUUGGUGCGAGUUUCUGAAAACUCACAAGUUUGAUCUUCCCAUUUAAAACUUAAACAGGAAAGCAAGAUUCUCAAGUUUCUGGGGUUCAUGUGGAAUCCGCUUUCAUGGGUUAUGGAAGCUGCGGCUAUCAUGGCCAUUGCUUUGGCCAAUGGUGAUGGCAGACCUCCUGAUUGGCAAGAUUUUGUUGGUAUCAUCUGUCUGCUUGUUAUCAACUCCACUAUCAGUUUCAUUGAAGAAAACAAUGCUGGUAAUGCUGCAGCUGCUCUCAUGGCUGGUCUUGCUCCUAAAACCAAGGUAAUGUGUCGUAUCAUGUUGUGUUUCUGAAACCUUUUUUUUUCUUUGAGAACUAAUCUUUAUUCAGGGUAUCAAUGAUAUUAACCGAUUUAACUUUUAACUUCGGAGUUCAAAUGCAAAAAAUUAGUUCACAAAUAAUAAUAUAAAUCUAAAAAUUGUAAAGUAUUUUUGUUUUCUGUAUUAAAUUUGGCUGUUAUUUUUUUUGAAACUUUUCUUGAGCUUAACCUGUUUUGUUUGCUUUCUUUUUGUUUUUCUUCUCAGGUUCUUAGGGAUGGAAAAUGGAGUGAACAAGAAGCUGCUAUACUUGUCCCAGGUGAUAUUGUUAGCAUUAAACUUGGAGACAUCAUCCCAGCCGAUGCCCGUCUUCUCGAAGGUGAUCCUUUAAAGGUUGAUCAGUCUGCUCUAACCGGAGAGUCUCUCCCUGUGACCAAGCACCCUGGUCAAGAAGUUUACUCUGGUUCAACUUGCAAGCAAGGAGAAAUCGAAGCAGUUGUUAUAGCUACAGGAGUCCGCACCUUCUUUGGCAAAGCUGCUCACCUUGUGGACAGCACUAACCAAGUUGGCCACUUCCAGAAAGUUCUCUCGUCCAUUGGAACCUUCUGUAUCUGCUCAAUCGCUACCGGUAUGGUGAUCGAAAUAAUAGUCAUGUACGGUAUUCAAAAAAGGAAGUACAGAGAUGGAAUUGACAACCUCCUGGUCCUCUUGAUUGGUGGUAUCCCCAUCGCUAUGCCGACGGUGCUGUCCGUGACUAUGGCUAUUGGCUCUCGCAGGCUGUCUCAGCAAGGUGCCAUCACCAAACGUAUGACUGCCAUAGAAGAACUGGCGGGGAUGGAUGUCCUGUGCAGUGACAAAACCGGGACGCUAACACUCAAUAAACUGAGUGUGGACAAGGACUUGGUCGAGGUUUUCUGCAGGGGAGUUGAGAAAGGUCAAGUCUUAUUAUUUGCAGCCAUGGCUUCUAGGAUUGAGAACCAGGAUGCUAUUGAUGCAGCCAUGGUUAAUAUGCUUGGUGAUCCAAGGGAGGCCCGAGCUGGGAUCAAGGAGGUUCACUUCCUUCCAUUCAACCCUGUGGACAAGAGAACUGCUUUGACUUACAUCGACUCUGAUGGUAACUGGCAUAGAGUCAGCAAAGGUGCUCCUGAGCAGAUCCUCGAUCUUGCUAAUGCCAGGCCUGCCCUUAGGCAGAAGGCACUCGCUACUAUUAACAACUACGCAGAGCGCGGUCUUAGGUCAUUGGCAGUUGCUCGUCAGGUACUUAUUUACAUUACACCAGAGAUCUCUUCUUUUUUCUUUUUUUGCAUUAACUCAGUUCUUGUUCCUUUUUUUUUAGUUGGUCCCUGAGAAAACAAAAGAAAGCUCAGGUGGACCAUGGGAGUUUGUUGGCUUGUUGCCUCUCUUUGACCCUCCAAGACAUGACAGUGCUGAAACCAUUCGUAGGGCUUUGAACCUUGGUGUUAACGUUAAGAUGAUUACUGGUAACUAUACUUAAAUUCAUCAUAUUAUUAUUAUUGCAUCAAAAAAAAACAUGGCUAUUUAAGAUGUUUUCACUUAACUACAUUGCCAGGUGAUCAACUUGCUAUUGGUAAGGAAACUGGUCGCAGGCUUGGGAUGGGAACCAAUAUGUAUCCAUCUGCGGCUCUUCUCGGUACCGACAGGGACUCAAACAUUGCCUCCGUUCCUAUUGAGGAGUUGAUUGAGAAGGCUGAUGGGUUUGCUGGCGUCUUUCCAGGUUACUCAGUCUUAAAACCAAAUCAUAAUUAGAAAAAUGUUUUGUUAUAUUGAUUGAUUGAUCCAAGGUUUUAUUGUUUCAGAGCACAAAUAUGAGAUUGUGAAAAAGCUGCAAGAGAUGAAACACAUUGUUGGAAUGACUGGUGAUGGUGUCAAUGAUGCUCCUGCUUUGAAGAAAGCUGACAUUGGUAUUGCUGUGGCUGAUGCUACUGAUGCUGCUCGUGGUGCUUCUGAUAUCGUUCUCACCGAACCUGGUUUGAGUGUUAUCAUCAGUGCAGUGCUCACUAGCAGAGCUAUCUUCCAGAGAAUGAAGAACUAUACAGUGCACAUUCUAUUAAUUUUGUUUUAGUCUUAUUCUUAUAUUAUGACCACUACUCUGUAGGAAACUAAUAACUAUUUUUUUCUCAUGCAUGUGACAGAUUUAUGCAGUCUCAAUCACAAUCCGUAUUGUUGUAAGUAAUCACAAACCAAACAUCUAUCACUUGUUUCUUUUAUUGUAUAUACUGAUCAUAUUGUAACUUUUUGCAGUUUGGUUUCAUGCUCAUUGCUCUGAUAUGGGAAUUUGACUUCUCAGCCUUCAUGGUUCUGAUUAUUGCCAUCCUUAAUGAUGGUGAGAAAAUGACCAUAUAACCUCUUAAUAUUAUAACUAGUUGUUAUGGUAAUAAUGUGUUGCUGUCUUUUAGGUACUAUCAUGACAAUCUCAAAGGAUAGAGUCAAGCCAUCUCCAACACCUGAUAGCUGGAAGCUCAAUGAAAUCUUUGCCACUGGAAUUGUGUUGGGAGGCUACCAAGCCGUUAUGAGUGUGAUUUUCUUCUGGGUGAUUCACAAGACUGACUUCUGCUCGGUGUGUGUUAGGGAUUAUAUAGAUAAAUAUUGUGUAAGAAACUAUUACUUACCUUUUACUUGCAGGACAAGUUUGGUGUGAGGUCAAUCAGGGACAAUAACGAUGAACUAAUGUCUGCUGUGUACCUACAAGUUAGUAUCAUCAGUCAAGCGCUUAUAUUCGUCACGAGGUCAAGGAGCUGGUCAUUCGUUGAACGUCCUGGGGCGCUUCUGAUGAUUGCAUUCGUCAUUGCACAACUGGUAAUUAAGAACAUCAUAUAUUUUCAGGAAUUCCAGAAAAGAAACUCAUCUCACUCUUCCUUCCUUCCAAAUGCAGGUUGCUACUUUGAUUGCAGUGUAUGCAGACUGGACUUUUGCAAGGGUGAAAGGUAUAGGUUGGGGAUGGGCUGCCGUGAUUUGGGUUUACAGUAUUUUAACAUACAUCCCACAAGAUAUUUUGAAGUUUGCCAUUAGAUACAUCUUGAGUGGAAAGGCUUGGGUCAGCAUGUUUGACAAAAGGGUACGUACACACAACUAACUCUCUUUUACAUCUUGAUGGUAAACAUAAUAAUACUCAUUGCUUCUGCUGUUACUUUGUGAGCAGACCGCUUUGACGACCAGGAGAGAUUACGGUGCUGGAGAAAGACAAGCUGAGUGGGCGACAGAACAAAGGACGCAGCACGGUCUGCAGACAAGACAAGAGGUCAACGUCUUCCCAGAGAACGGGGGUUACAGAGAGCUGUCUCAGAUCGUUGAGCAAGCCAAGAAAAGGGCCGAGAUAGCUAGGUAAGUGUACUUUGAUUAAAUCAAUCUCAAUGGAAGAAACUUGAAUUUUCUUGAUUUUUAUUGGCGAAUGCUUUGUUGUGACAGGCUUAGGGAGAUUCACACAUUUAAGGGACAUGUUGAAUCAGUUGCAAAGCUAAAGGGCUUGGACAUUGAUACAUCAGGACAUCACUACACUCUGUAGUUGCCAUAACUAUUCCCAAAAACUCUCUUUUUUUCUAUUGUUAGUCAUUGUUCCUAAACUUCUAAAAUGGAGCUUUGUAUUUGCCUUUGAAGAAACAAGGCUUUUGACUUGGACUACAUCCUUUUCAAUGGUCUAAUGUGAACCUGUUGCUCUCUCGUUUCCAUUUUCUGUUUUUUUAACAAAUUCCAUCUUUGAUAUAUAAUAUUUGAAUCAUGUUAUUCAGUGCCAUUCUAAAAUGUUAGUAUAUAUUUAUGCUUAUGUACAAAGAUCAGGAUGUCUAACUUGUGACAUACAUUGAGAUUGUCGUGGGGUUGGACAACUCACAAUAACUUCAAGUAUGAAGACACGUGCAAAGAUAUGGAUGAUGACUUCAAAUCAUAUCACUUGCUCUUUGUAAUGUGAUAGGAAGCUCUAGCAUGGCAUUGUUCCUUGAAGUAUCAUUUACUAGGCUUUAUUUUUACUCGUGUGGUGGACCUGUGGUGUCAAAUUACAAAGAGAAAGUGAUAUCAUCAUCAUCAUCAUGAUCAUAGAAUCUUGUUUCUAGAAUUUUGGAAGAACAUGUAGAAUCCUCGACAGGGGAAGAUAAUAGCUUGUAUAGCAAUAAAUGUUUCCACGCGAUUUUUUUUUGGCAGAAAAGCCAAAGCCAUGUCUACGUUAUGUUUCAACGGUUUUUCGCAACUUUUGUGGUUGAUUUAUGAACCGAGAUUAUUCAUGUUGAUCGUAUCGAGAGUUGGAACCAAAUGACUCGUGAUGGACAACGAAAUCCACUCAUAAAUUAAUGUUAGGGUUUGAACUUUGAACAAAUAAUGAAUAAAAUGACAAUUUUGAUAUGAUUUGAGGUAAAAAGGUAUAACUUAUUGAUUAUGAAUGUUGGUACAAUGUCAAUGAAUAUAGUAUAUGAUCUAUAUACAAAAUGUGUAUAGUUUUGAUGCCUGGGACUUGGAUCCUCUUCUCUUUCCAUAUUUGGUGAUAUGGGUGCAUGCCACAUCCUCCACCGGCUUGGGUAAUCGCGUCUGAACAGUUGAUGGACCCUUGUGAGGCUUAGGCUAGAGGAGUCUUCGUCUGACGCGCUGCACAUCUCUCAUCUUUUUGCACUCGUCAGGCUGGCCACUUUUACUCUUAUUAAAUUGAUUACCCUUAUAUGAGUUAUGUCUCUAGCCGCACGUUGCUAAGAAUAUAGUUUUUUGGUAAGCAGCUCUUCCAUUCUCCAAAUUUCUACAAUUUAUCCAUUUUUUUUCACAGCUCUUGUUUAGUUCUGGUAAAUAAGAUAUAUACAUUUGAUGUAUAAAGCUUUUUUCAUUAGAAAAAUAUUAAAGGGUUUAUCACAUUCAUUUCCUCCUUCAAAAUAUUUUCAUAGCUUUCCCAUCUCUUAUAUAUUAUUCGAGAAACAAUACAACAUUUGAGUUAUGACAUGUGUCAUCACUAUAAUGAUUUUUAAUUUUUUUAGAAAAAUAGAUUGGUACAUCUAAAGUAUACUAAUAUUUUCAUUAAACUAAUAAUUAAAUUAAUUAUUAAUUUACAAGAAAAUAUUUUUAAAAAAUAAAAGCUACGGAAUUACCCAAUGUGAUUACAAUAUAUAUGACAAAUUAGUGAUUUUGAAUAAUAUAUAUUUGAUAACAAUUUUUGUAUUCUCUAUCAUUUUGGUUUAAUUUUAAAUUGUAACAAUAAAUUAAACAGUUACAUUAAUCAUAUAAUAAAAUUUAGAUUUUUUCAUAUAAGUUAUAUAUUCAAUUAUUAAAAACAAUAUAAAUUGUUAAAACUUUUAAAAGUCCCACAUUUAAAAAUUGUAAUUACUAAUGGUGUAACAAAAUUGUUAUAAAAAGAUAAAAGUUGAUCAUAAAAUCAUAUGAGUAUGAAGUCUUAUUAAAUAUAAUAUAUAUAUAUAUAUUUACAUAAAAAUAUAUAUUUUAAUAUUAAGUUUCAAUAUAAUUCAAAUUAAAAUAUAUACCAUAUAAACUCACAUAAAUAUUUUAAAUUUGAAAUUUGCAUUUAACAAGUAUUGAAAACUUAAUAUUUUAAUUCAUAAUUUACAUUAAUUUUUUUAAACGAUUAUAAAUUACAAAAACUAAUAAAAGUCACAUUUGUAAAAAACAUUUAUCAACGGUUUUAAUUUUUUUGUUAUAAAAAAUAAUAAUAAUCUUAAAACCAUAUGAGUACAAAGAUCUAUUUAAAAAAUAGUCAUAUUAAAUAUAUUUUAUAUAUCUAUUUAAUAUCAUUUAAAUUUAAUUAUAUACCAUAUAAAAUAGAUAAAAGUGAUUGUUUAUAUUUAUUUACCAUUAAGUUAUUGUAAAUAUUUAUGUGUUUAUGCCAAUUUAAUUAUAUACAUUAUUAGCUUCUCAAUUAUUUAAUAUAUAUUUAUAAUAUGUAAAAAAUCAAAAUAAAUAAUUGUAAGUAAAAAUAAUUUAUGUACACAAUGAUAAUUCCAUGCAAAAUACGGAUAUUAAUCUACUUUGAUUUUUAAAAUUGAGAUCAUACAUUUUCAGUCAUAUUUUUGUUUCUUACCAAAUAUUCAUAUAUGUAACCGUAGAUAGCAUCCCAUUCGCUUACCAACCGGAUUGACUUUAUACACUGCACUACACGUGUUAGUUUGGUCUGAUUCGUUUCUGGCAAUUCAUUGCUUUGCAUAAUGAUCUUGGUACAACAUUGAUAGCAAUAUUAACAAAUGCAUAGUGAUUGGUUGAAUUGUACUUGUAGAAAUUUUACAAUAAAAUUAUCUUGUAGAUUUUUUGAUAUAAUUGUAUCUAAUGUAUCUGUAAAAAUUAAAAGAAAUUUACAACAAUAUUUUACAAAAAAAAACUCAUCAGUUAUUUUUUCUAAUUUUUGAUUUUAGCUUUGAAAAAUUAAAUAAAUCAUGAUUGUUAAUAUUUAUUAUUGUAUAUAAAAAAUAAAAAAAUUGUUACAUCCUAACCGAUUCUUCCACACAUGUACGCUUACUUAAGACUCAAUAGACUCGUAACUUAGACACCGCCGCCACAAAAUUUAUAAGUGGCAAACUGUUUCUAAAUAGGGAUGUCAACUCUUUUUUUGUCAUCAGCAAACUCACAGAUUCGUGACGACUCUGCAACCAAUUUUGUAACUCUGAAUCUAUAUGGACGAUAAAAGUCGGUUGUUUUCUAGCACUACGUGUAAGGCUACCCGUCUUUGAAUUCAUCGUUCUUGGUAUAUGGAGGAGUUAGGAAGAGUAAAAAUUGCUUUUCAAAAUCUUAAUAUCUUCUAAGUAAUUUGCAAAAACUGACCAUUCUUCUGGUCCUAAAACCAUCUUCACCAACUGAGAACAACCUGUUGCAAAUGUGACCUGAUACUGACGUAAAUUCGUCAUGCAUUCUAUUGCCCAAAUAAGCCUUCUACUUCCGAAUGAAAGGGUGAGAGACUAGCUCGAGUAUUUGUGCCCCCAAUAAUCCAUCAAAACCUUCUAAAAUGAUAUACCAACCUUGUUCCAAAUGUAAAUCCUUAUCUUUCCACGAUCCAUCUGUGAAACACCAUCUGUCUGGGGUAGAAGGUGUAGUUGUAACCUCAUUCACCCUACUUUGGGUAAUCCUUUGUAUAAUUGUAGUUUGUGCCUCGGCCCAAAUUAAUGAUUAUGUUUCUGCCAGCUUGAGAGUAGUUCUAGGAUAAACAUCUAUGUUGUUAAAUUUUUUGUUAUUCCUCUCUUCCGAAAAAUACCAUAAGAUCCAUGUAAAUUGAUGAUCCUCUAUCUCCGGAGUAACUCUCCAAAACAUAUGGUCCAUAUUUGUGAAGAGUGACUAUGUUGAAAAAAUAUCUGGAUUCAAUGGGAUCCGUGAUAGUGCCCAAACUUGGAUCGCCGAUGAACAUUCAAAAAAACAUAUGGUUCACUGAUUCCUUUGGCUCUCCACAACGAGCACAACAUUUAUCGCCUUGAAUAGGGAUGUCAACUCAUCAGUUAUAUAUUCGUUUCAUCGACAAACCUCCAUUGGUAAUUUUAAGAAUUCGCCAUGCGGUAGAUAUGCAUUUUAUAGAUAAUUAUUGAUUAGGCAGACGUCUUGCCCGAUCUUUUUCUAGACAUUAUAUAGAUAAUUUUUGAUUAGACGGACGCUUGCCCAUCUUUUUAAGCCAUUCUGAUAACUUGUUUCUUCUAGACCUGAUAUGCCGGUUAUGUUGAUUUUUAAAUCACUGGUUCCAUUAACAUUUUUUUAAAUGGCUUUCAUAUUGAAAUAAAAAAAAUAUGAAAUAAAAAAAAAAGAGAAACAAAGGUUACAAAGAGAAACAAAGAAAGAAGAAGUAAAGGAAAAAAAUACAACUGAAAACUAAGGAAAAAAAAAAGACAACACAAACCAAAAUGAUCCAACCCGAGAUGGGAAUAACAGUGGCUCACAAGUAAGAAACAAGUAAAAUAUGUACGACAUACAACCGACAGCUUAAAAUGGUUCGACUACACAGACAAGUAGCGUUAGCAAACUCCGGAUCUAAUAUCCUAUUCACUAACCAAUUGCUGUUAAUCCAGAGAGGAGCCGGAGCAUCCUAACUGCUUCUAAGCAAGUAAUACCACUGACAGUUAACCGCAGAGAAAAUAAGGAGCAACAAACCAGUACGCACUCAUCAACAAUGCCAAAAAUACGGGAUGAAAAGGAGGCCGCAAGAUGAAGGAAACCACGGGACCUGCACUGAAAGGAAAAGGACCAAGUUGUAAAUACUGGUUCCAUUAACAUUAAUGUUGUAAAUACUGAAUUUCUUCUCAAAUAAAAAACAAAAUCAGUACUGAUCACAUAAUUCAAGUUAUCGAUCAGAAAGUUCCUAAAUUUACUUUGAGUUUCUUUGGAUAUAUUACCAGAAUGUUUGACGAACAGAUCAGUAAUAGAUGUUCCCUUAAAUCACAUAAGGCAUUCUUAAGUGCUAUUUUUUAAAUAGCAAAGAUCUUCUUUUUUUUUAAAAGAAAAUGUUUUGUUAACCUGUAAAACUCUGUUGCUCAAACCGUUUUCUAUAUUAUGUUAAUCGUCCUUUUGAGAUCUUAUGUUUUGUUGAAUACCUAGUUCACAGAACAAUUUAGUUCGAUAAGAUAGUUUUUAUAAAAAUUAAUAAAAGAUUUUGAAAAAUAUUCUUUGCAAUAUUUAUUGUGAUUCAAACAAUAAGUAGAAAGCACAUUUAUUCAAUUUAAAUUGUAAAACUGGAAUGUAUAGACAAUACACUUAAGAAAAUAGAUGCAUACGCAAAUUGGAAAUUAACAUUUUCUUAAAAUCUCUAUAAUAUUAUUUGAAAAAUUAGUUUUCUAUGUGUUGUUGCAUUCACGUUAAUUCUUACGACGGUUGAUUAUGAUAUACCCUUAAUAAAGUAAAAACAUUAUAACUAAUUACGAUUAUUAAAAAAAAUUAUUCUUCUUAAUUUAAUUUUCUUUUGAUUUAUAAUGUUUUUAAAUAAUAUACAUAAUAAAAGGAAACAUUAAUUUAUGAAAUAUAAAAUUUAAAACGAAAAUGUAUAAUAGAUAAUUUGAGUUCUAAAAAAAGAAAGUUCACAAUAAAAGUUUUACUAAAGGAAAAAAAUUUAAAUUUUAAAAACCAAAAUAUAUCACAUAUAAUAAUAUAUUUGACAAGUCAGUUUUCUACAUGUUGCGCUCAUCUUAAUACUUAGGACGGAUAAUUACAGAGAUACCUUUAAUAACUUAAAAAUAUUAUAUCUAAUUUCUAAUAAACUUUUAUUUAUAAUUUAAUUUUCCUUUUAUUUUUAUAUUUCGAAAUAAUAUAGCUAAUAAAAGCAAACAUUAAUUAAUUUAUAUUUUUAAAAAUAAAAUGUAUCAUAGAUAAUUUGAUUUCAUAAAAAAUAAAGUUCACAAUAAAAAUUUACUAGAGAAACAAAAUUUAAAUUUAAACAGGAAAAUAUACCAAAUACAUAAUUUUGAUUACAUAAAAAAAAGUUCACAAAAAAUAAUAUUAAUAUUACAUAUAUAUUUCUUUUAAAACAUAAUCUUAAAUAACAUAAUAUAUAUAUAUAUAUAUAUAUAUAUAUAUAUUUUUUUUUUAAAGUAAUAACAAUAUUUUCUUUAUGUCAAGCUUUAUUCUCAGAUGAUCAAAACUAACUUAGAUAACAUAACAUAAACUGAAAUUUAUUUAAUGAACUAAAAUAAUUUUAAAACACAUAUGUAUUAAAUUUUUGGUUUAUAUGACAAAAGUUAUGAAUAUGUUGAUUAAACUUUGGUAUAAAUAUAAUAUAACUUUGUAAUCCUUUUGUUUGUGUGUCUUGUUCAACAUUAUUAUACAAUUUUUAAUAUGUAAUAUACGUUGUUAUCCAUUAUUAAUCAAUUAGAACAUCUAAUUUUUGUAGAAUUUGAUAUAAAAAAAAAUUAACUGAUGAAAUAUUAAAAAUUGAAUCUAAAUGUUUAUAGUUUGCAUAUAUAUUUUGGCAUUAUUAGAUUUAUCUAAGAUAUUAUAAAAAUGUUAAGAGAAAUUUUGACAAAUCAACUAUUAUUGUUGAAAAGGACAAUAAGAAAUUGUCAAAUCAACUAUACGGAAGUGGUUUAAUGGUGAAUAGACUUUGAGAAGAUAAAUGAUCUGGAUUCGAAUCAAUUUCACCUCAUAAAUUUGAAUAAAUUUAGGUGGGUUUAUUCUUGUGGACUACAUCUCCUAUUACAAAACUAAUGUGAGUUUUUUUCAUAUAUCUAAGAUAUCUCGUAAGUUAUUCCAUUUUUUCGUCGAAUGCUCAUAUUUAGCAGAUUCAAACUCGGUUAGGACAGCUUUAGAAGAUCUAUCUCUCUCUCUCUCUCAUAAUUGUCCUUGUUGAGAGAAAAAAAAGUUAAGCGAUCUCCGAGCAUAGUUCUCGGCCGACGAUGGUGGGCUCCUUUAGCCACGUCCUCGGUCGGGUUUCUUCCUUUUUAUUUCAGUUCUGUUUAUCUUGUUUAGUUUCCGGUCCGUCAUGUGGUAUCGUUGGUUCUUCGGUACUGUAUGUUUGGUUUUUCUGUUCCAGUAUCGCACCGAUCGUUUGGUGGAUGACUGGCUUUGUUUCUGGGGCCGUGCCGUUUCUUCUUCGGUGGUGGUUGCCGGCUAUCGAAUCCUCGGAAGUGAUCGAGCUGUAUGACGUUUUUCGUUUUAGUGAUUGGGUGGUCUGGGUUUGGAUGAGAUCUUGAGUUUAUUUGAUUGAUGCUAUCCAAAACUUAGGCGUAUGUGUGGAAAGAUGCUGAAUCCGUAAAACUUCCAACACAGUCGUUGGAUGUGGUUUUCGGUGGUUGUGGUCGUGUUCCCGGUUGAUUCCGGAGUUAAAGUGAUCUGUUUGUUCCGAUAACGACUUUUAAGUCGGUGAAAUCGAUGGUGGCUCGCGUUUCCGGUGUGAUUCCGGUGGUUUCCGGUGGUUUUUGGUUCAGUUGCAGCGACGAUUCGCAGGUGGAAGAAGACGGUGAUAUUGUCUUUGCACGUGUCCCUUUUUUCUCCUGAGUUGAACACGUUGUUUUGCGUCAUCUGUUUGUUAGUGGAUAUGGGCCUGUGUUUGGUUUUCUAGUGUUGUAGUUGGGUCUUGUUGGUAGGCCAGGAUCCUUUUUCUUUUUGGAUUUUUGUUUGUAAAAAACCUUUGUUAUUAUAUAAAAUAUCAGAUUUCAGAGAAAAAAAAAUGCAGAUUCAAACUCGGUUCAGUUCAGCGGUGGCACAUGCAUUUGUGUGUUUUUUUUUACUAAUGCAUGUGUGCGGUUGUUUCCUUUUCCUUUUUUGGACAACCACGUGGUGUAGUUUUAUAUAAUAAUUUCUCAUUGAUUCUCUAUAGUUGCCUAAAUCUAUUGAACUUUGUUGGAGGUUUACAUUUUCACUUAGCCGAUACAUCAUUUAAAAUUUUCUCAUAAAUUAAUUUGAUAACCCAUUUUUCUAAGUCAUUCAAUUUUUAUAAAACUCAUUUGACUUUGAAAACUGUUCCAGCAAUCAACUCUCUAUUACAACAAAAAAUUAAGCAACAACUCCAACUUAUAAUUUUCAUUCUUCAGCUGAGAUGACUAUCUUGUCUUCACGUCUUAUUAUCAAGGGUUUGUAGUUGUUUCUAGCAGUCUUAUAUCUGUUAUCGUUUUGUUUUUUUUUGCAUAUAGGAAAAACAAUUGUAACCAAAUCCCUAGAUUAUGGUAUCCAUGAAUGUGUGUGAACUUUAACCAAAGAAACAAACGACAGCAAGUUGUAGAAGUUAUCAUGACAAUUAACUAACAUUGUCAAACGGCCAAAGCGUCGAGAGUCGAGACUUUAAAAACUAAUUUUUAUUGUUCGGUUAAAAUGUGAUCUAUUUCCGUUACAAAAAAACUGUGUUCUAUUUAUACAAUUAAAUGUAAUAAAUUAAUAGUUAUAUGAGAUUUUACAAUUUUGUAAUAUUUAUAUUGUAUUUGAAGUGAAUUUAAAUUAUAAAUAAGCAUAAAAUUGAAAUAAAAUAUGAGUUCAAGUCUCUAAUUAUUAAUUACCCAGCUAAAUUAAGCUUUUGUUUUCAUAUUUUUUUAUUUUUAUGGGGUCAAACUAUAAAAUUUGGUGGUGUCAUAAUAUUUUUUUAUGAAAGAAAAACUUAUAUUUUAUAAAUUAGGUGCGGUCGGCUGACCCCCUCCAUCCUCUAUACGUAUCAGACUUGAAUUGAAACAAAAUUACUAAAUACUCUUCAAAAACACCAUGAGGGUUUUUCUUGACAAAAUGACUUGUAUUUUUCUCAUUACAACUCACGUGCAAGUUGACUAUUAAAGAUACUUUUAAAAAUAAAUUAAUUAACAUCCGUAAUUAACUGACUAUCUCUUCUAAUGAAUAGACUAGAAAUAGAAUUUUAUUUCUGUCUGUCUCUUCCUAUGUAUGGGUUAUAUAUAUAGACUUUUCUCUUUUCUUCAAUGUUGCCACAUUUCAGAUUUCUAGUAAUUGGUUUUCAGAAAUGGCGGAGGGAACGUUCAAGGUAUUGCUGUGGGGUUUAGCAGCAAUGGUGUUUGCAAUGGCCGAAGGGGCUCGUGGACAGCGCGUGCCUUGCUAUUUCGUUUUCGGAGACUCAGUUUUCGACAACGGUAACAACAAUGACUUGAACACCUCCGCUAAAGUUAACCAUUCACCUUAUGGUAUGGAUUUAGCUAGAGGUCCCACGGGCCGAUUCAGCAAUGGCCGUAAUAUUCCCGACUUUAUCGGUUAGUCCCUGGCUUGUUUUAUUUCUUUGCCCAAAUGUUUUCGAUGAAAUUACUAAUAGAUACUAUUAACUAGAAAAGACAAACGUAUCAUAACGUAUUCUUUGCCUAACUGGAAGUUUAGAAUGUAGGCAUUUCUCUUUUAGCUGAUAUUUUCAAUGGAACAUAAAAAGAAAUGCAAACAUUAGAACUAGACAGUGUUAUGCAGAACAGUCAUAGAUGCAAAUUAAGAGACUAUGUAAGUAGAUAAAUAAAGUUUUGCUUAUCACACAUCCACAUAGGUGGUUUAAAGUUUCUCAAAAUAUAUAAAUAAAUAAAAGAGAAGUAAAAGGAUGAGAAAGGUAAGAAAAUCUCUCCGUUGAGAGACUAUAUCACACAAAACGAUCUCUUCGUGAGAGACUAUAUAUAACACUUCUGGAAAAAAAAAACAUUUGCUUAGUUUUUAGACAUUCAUUGUUUAAAAAUCUAAAAACAUCAAUUUUUGUUUUGUUUUGAAACUCUGCUGAGUCUCUGGCGAUAAAUAUCAUUGAUUAAUAGCAACUCCAAUAUUGGAGAUACUUACUUGAGGAUCUGAAUAAAUAUCAUUACUUUUGAAUAUGUUUAGUUUUAAUUUUAGACAAAAAUAAUGAUUUAAAAAGAUGACAAGUGUCCCUAUAGUUUCUUAAGAUCAUCUCCACCCACUGUUAUAUUUAUCUUUAUAAUAAUAUUUAGGGAUAAAAUUAUUCUAAAUCAUCUUUAUUUCUUAAAAAUAAAAAAAAUUACUCUUUUUUCUAUUUUUUUUUUGACGUCUACUCUUUCAUCUUUAUUAUAAAGUUUUUUUUUUAUUUUAGAGAAAAAAUAGCAAAAUACAUUAAAGAUAGUUUAAAAUAUUCUUGUGACCUCUCAAAUGACAGAGGGGGUCUCAAAAUGUCUUACCUCUCAUACUUUUUGAGUUUAUAUUGUUUUAUUGUUUACAUAUCUUAUCUAAUUACUGACGAUGAGCAUGGCCUAAUGAUGCCCUAAUGUAUUUAAGAAUCAAUUUCCCAAAAGGAAAAAACAAAUUUUGUGAAUGGUUUCUUGUGAAUCUGUUACUUUUUUUAAAGGUUAUUGUGUUUAUCAUUCAUAAGUAUUGUAUAUGGUUUCUUGUCUAAUAUGAGUUUGAAUUAUGUUGUGUUUAGCUGAACUAAUGAGAUUCAGUGAUUACAUUCCACCUUUCACCGGAGCAUCGCCGGAACAAGCUCACACCGGUUUAAAUUACGCUUCUGGCGGCGCGGGAAUUCUCGAAGAUACUAGCUACCAUCUGGUAAGAACAUAAUUUAGAAGCAAAAGAGAUCAAAAUAAAGAUAUCUUUAUUUUUCCUCGGGUAUUUCAUUUUUACCAAUACUACUAUAUCUACAUAUAUGGUUAAGUAACUUUCCUAAACGUACUACUAAAUUUAGUAAUACUGAUUCAAAAGACGCGCAGUGAUCAUAUGUUCUCAUUUGGUGGCUCUAAUGUCUGGCUGAUACGAAACUAAUUAGUAAAUUGAGAUUUUGUAUCUGAAAGUUUGAGGUUUCAAACCUAACUUAGAAAAAGACAAUUUAAAAUGUUGUGAUUCCCUGUCCAAUGAAUAUACACAAAUAAUUUUGUAAAUGUUUUAGGUGACUAUAAAUAAUUUUUUUUUUAAAGCAAAUAAUCAUUUGGUUUUGUUGAUUUGCUUUCUCUUUUCUCUUUUUUCUGGCAGGGAUCCUAAAUAUGACUCGCUUAUUUGUAUUUUUUGUGUUUAAACACUUAAAUUAAUUACUUACGCAUUAUGAUAUUUCUUACGAUAGGGUGAUAGAAUCAGUUUUAAAACGCAAAUCAAGAACCACCGGACGGCGAUUAUGACUGCAAACGUGCCCCCGGAGAAGCUGAAGCAAUGUCUAUACACUAUUAAUAUAGGAAGCAAUGAUUAUCUUAACAACUACUUCAUGCAAGGUGAUAAGUACAAUACACAACGCAAGUACACUUACGAUCAAUUUGCUGAUUCCCUCAUUCGACAUUAUCGCUCUUUACUGAAGGUAAUAUUGCCCAAGGUUUUGAAAAGAAAAUUAAUAAAGGAAUUAUAAACCUUCAUAUUUCAUUGAAAUAACUUUUGACAUUAUAAAUAGUUGAUUAAUUUCCAUAUAAAACAUGAUGCAGAGUAUUGGAUAUAUCUCUACAAAUUUUACUCCUAGUUAAUUAUCUAUAAACCGAUUAAUUAGAGACAUUUGUUUUUGUAUAAGUUGUUGUAUGUCCAAGGAGCAAGGAAGGUUGCUUUGUUUGGGGUCAGUAGGAUAGGGUGCACCCCGCGGAUGAUCGCCUCCCAUGCUGGUGGUAUGGGCUGUGCCGCUGAAGUGAACAAAGCAGUUGAACCUUUCAACAUGAACCUUAAAGCUCUGGUCAGAGAGUUCAACACUAACUUCGCCGAUGCUAAGUUCACUUUUGUCGAUAUGUACACCGGGCAAACUCCUUUUGCGUAUGCUGCCUUAGGUAAGUAAUACUAAAUAUAUUGAACUGAAAGUUUUGACCCAAGAUGAAAUCAUUUUACCGGAUUAAAAACAUAUAGUAUAAUACUAAUUAAAAUACACUGUUUUCAUUAAGGUGUUCUAAGGAAUACCAGAGUUAAGUUUCCCAAAAUACACAAGGAAAUUUUUUGGAAAGGUUUAUGAUCAACUCCUUCCUAAUGGCUUUACUAAUCCAGUUGUAUGAUCAGCUAUUAAGCUUUUUGAAGAUGAUUCCUAGAUAAAUAAAAAACUUCAUUAACUUUUCAUAAUCGUGUUCCUGGAAUACUUGAUAUCUUAAAAUCAAAUAUUUUCCUUCGUUUUCAUUUUCUUCUGAAAUAUAAAUUUAAAUCUUCAUUUUGUCACAACUCUAAGAGAUUUGAUCAGUUAGAUCAUUUAUUUUCCAUAGUAGUACAAUUGCAGUAAAAUCACGAUAAAACUUAUAAUAUUGGAUUGUGAUCCUAUAAUUUGAUCAUGCGUAUACUUUUAACAAAAAAUGUAAAAAUAAUUAUGCGUAUUUUUACAUUCUUGUAGGGUUUGCUGUAACACAAAAGAGUUGUUGUACGGUAGAAUCAGGGGAAGAACUAUGUGCGGCGGAUAAACCGAUUUGUGCGUUUCGAGACCGGUACGUGUACUGGGACAAUGUCCACAGCACUGAGAGGGCCAACAUGUUUGUGGCAAAGGCUGCUUUUGCCGGAAUCGUUGCUUUUCCUUACAGCAUUGCCUUGCUUGGAAUAGUAUAGGGAUAAUAAUAUACUCGAAACCAUUCAUUUUCUUUUGUUGGAUAUUUAUAUAUAUGAUCUUUGUUUUUAAUUUAAUUGUUUUAUUGAACAAGGAAACUUUGUUUCAUUUCAACAGGUGAUUUUUUUGUGCACCAAAUUCUUAUAUUAAAAAUUGACCGUCCAAUAGGCUUAUAAGGUUACAAGUAUAGGUAACCUCGACGACUAAACGAUAAAAAUAAACUACAACAACAAUAACGGAUAGAGGUGUUAAAGGGCCGAAGAUACCCAUAGAAAUGCUUUACUUAAAACUGAUGUUCCCAGUACUGAUAUUGGGAUAAUGAGCGGGUCUGAAGACGGUUGGUAUCUCAUUUGCUUCAGUGAUUAGAUUCUCUCCGGUGAUCAAAUGUUAGUUUAUCAACAAAAAAUAUAUGUCCGUCACUCAAAUGUUGGAAAAUGAUCCGCAGUUUAGUAAAGAAAAAUCAAAUGAUCUUAUUCCUCAGGUUGUAGAAUGAUAAGGCCCUUCAAACUAAUUUAGCAAAAUGAAACUAGCUAUAAUGUGCCAACGGUAUUAUAACUUGUAAUCAUUUUUCUGCUAUUCUGUUCAAACUAUAUCCACGAGUUGAGGCCUAUAUAUGCUCAAUAAAUAAUACUAUUAGCAAGGCUUGAAAAGCUAUCAUGUUCACAAAUUAUAAUUGGUCUAAUUGAAUUUUAGCAAUAUAUUUUUUGUCUCAAUUUUAGCUAUCGCACAAACAUACGUUCCAUAAUUAAAUCUUCUGAUGGAUUGCUACAAUGAUAGUCUUAAACAGCUAUAUAUGGAUUUGACAAAUAACCCGUUCUUAGUCAAAUGCAUUAAGAUCAUUCCAACUGUUUUUUUUUUUUUUUUUAAGAAAGGUUUUCUAACAUUCCAACUGUUGAUAUAGACAAACUCAUCUCUAAAUUCAAUAUAUACCACAUACUUAGUAAGCAAAAAUAUAAAGUUUAACUAUAUAUGUGUAAAUGUGUUAUUACAAAUGAAGAAUCACACCAACAGUAGUAGAAUCCCUACUUGAAUCCUUAUUCAAAUGGAAAUGAAAUGCAUAUAUAUAUAUAUAUAUAUAUAUAUGAAUACUUGUGUGUAUAUAUAGAACCCUAGAUAUCUUCAUAUAAGUGUUUCUUGAAGGCCUCCAUGUGAGCUACCUGUAGACACGUGGCGAGAAUCAGCGAGCCGUCAUCAUUUUUAUCAGGUAGUAGCAGAGAGCCCCCGUCGCCGUCAUGCGUGCAUGGUCCCAUGUGGACCUCCUUUCCCCACCCGAAAUCAAGGCCGUACAUUGGUAGAGUUAACCAGCUCACAAGUCCAAGAUUAGGGUUUCCGUAGAAUGGACCGUCCGUGCUGCCCAACGCAUGUAUAUCUUGAAACGUCUUCAGAUCCUCAUGGUUUUUUAGAUACUCUAUUCCAGUCAUUACGUAUUCGUUUGUCACACUCUUUAUGGCUUCACUAAUUUUUUCGGCCGCGAAACCCAACCCAUUCGAUAUGAGUUCACCUAUAUAAGAAAAUUUAUCGAAAUAUAGAAAUCGCAUUGUAUGAUAUCCCUAAAUACCUAUUAGUGUGAAAUUAGUUAGCUACAUUAAACUCCCAGAAUCGGGGGGAAAUAAGACUGGUCUGACUAAACGUGCAUGAUAAGCUACCAAGAGUUCUUUCAUCUAUAUUUGAAUUCCUAUUGUAAAUGUUCAAGAAGUAUAUUCUUUCUAAUGCUAGCUUACAUAUCCGAUUGAAAAUAUUUUUAACUGACUGCGAUUAGAUUGAUUGAGAUGGUGAUGUAUUAUUGUUUAGGCCAACUCCAAUAAUACUAAAAAACCAAAUUAGUGUAAUUUUUUUAAUUGUAAACUAAAAGGAUUAAACCCGGGUCUAUUAAAGACAUAAAUCUAAUCUCCGGGUGGAGGUACAAUCCACAGAUAGACUCUCUCCUGGAUAUUCAAAUGAUCCGAAAGCAAUAGUCCAUAUCUGUGUGGCCAACGGGGUUUCGCUAUAUUGGGUUUAUUUCUCUCAAGCGAAUUAGUGCAAUUUUACUCUCACGAAAUUAUAUAGAUAAAGUCGUAUCACUAAAUUUGAUAUUUUGUGAAUAGUAUUACACCAAACUUGGUGAACAAUAUUCAUUGCACCAAACAAUUAAAUAAUAUAUUUUAUUUUUAUUUAAUAAGAAAUUAAAUUAAUGUUAUUAAUUAGUUUAAAAUAUUAAAAGUAAUAUAUUUGUAUUUUCAUAUAUUUUCUCAACACUGAAUCUUAAAUUAUAUUUUUAUUUAAUAAUAUUGGUAAAUUACUACAUUAAAUAGUUAAAUUUUGUAACAAAAAUAACUAUAAUAUAUUGUUUUGUAUUUUCCUUUUCAAUAAUAUGAUAUAAAUAUCAAAGUAUUUAAAUAAUUAAAAUUUAUUUCUAGAACAAAUCUCAGCAAAAACAAAAACAAAAACAAAAUAGCAGCAGAAAAAUUAGAUUAAACAACUUUUAAAAUUUGUCAAAACGUACCUGAGGUGCUUCUUGCGACCGCAUUAAUAGUGGCAUUGCCAAAGUAGCCGCGUGGUAAAGGUGGCUGCACCCGACUACGAGUAUCUACACAGAUUCCCAGAGACGUGGGUUGUUCUGGGGAGUGCCCACGUGCUUUAGACGCGCACCUCCACACAUGUCCCGCGACCGUCUCGUACCUUGUAAACCCUCUAGCUGGGUCAGCGUAUUCACUUGUAUUCACUCUGCUUCUAAGCUUCUCAAUCAAAGUUUUGCUAAGUUUUAGUAUCUCUACAGUUGUUUUCUUCUUUCUUUCUUCUACAUUGUCCGUUUCUCCGAUCAGCAACGGUGGCUGUUCAAACCCUUUGCGUUCGCACUGAGGUGGGGAGGCAAACGGCGGAAGCGGUUUACCAGUCCAGAGGAUUUUGCGGUCGAGAAAUGGAGUGGUUUCAAGAGGUUCCCCGCGAGCGAUUCUUCCCCAUUCAGACAAGAAGUGAAACGCGCUCUGUCCAUCGACCACCGCGUGUGAAAUGCUGACGCCGAGGCUUAUUCCGCCGCAUUUAAAUCUGGUGACCUGAGCUAAGAAGAGAGGGAUCGUUUCAAUAGGGUGUUUGUAGUUUACUUGCGGAACAAGUUUCUCAAAUUCUGGCGUUGGAGAGAAAUCGUUGAAAUCUGAAAGUUUUGCCUCGGACUCGGCUUCCAUGAAUGACACUCCCUCCGCGUUACAAUCAAGCUCUAACCGCCCCCGAGGGAGCCACUUAAGACGGCCGGCCAUAGGGUAGAAGUGAAAAAGCGCACGGCUCAACGAGUUUCUUAGGGUUUCGACUACAUUGCCCUGGAACAAUUCAGAUGGCUUGUUAUAGAAGUAAACGGUAGGAACGUGAGUUAUUGUACCAACUAGAUCCCAUUCGGCUAAUGGAAAACAACCGGCCCAUGUAGGUUCAGAGGGUACGAUGGUAUAAAUAUUUCUUAGGAUGAUAGGAGCCAUAUCAUAAACCAGUUUUCUUUUUGAGUUUCGUCGACGUAAAGUAGUAUUUAUAUAAUAUAUUGAAUCGUAUGAGUUUAUCAUUAUUUUAUAGCACUUUUUAAAAAUGUAUUUCUCGUGAUUUAGUUUGUUUCCUUGUAGACGGCUUAUCUUGUGGAAGUGAUAAUAAGGUUUACUUGUUGGUAUGUGUGCUCAUGCUUAUUGUCCUUUUCUUAAUUUAACUCACUCAAUCGAUUAAUAUUCCAAUAUAUUUUUAAAAGACCUGUCUACAUAAACCGAAUAUAUUACAUUUACAAUGAAGAAUCUAAUAUUUCUUAGUUAUUCAUAUGGCUGAUGUAACAUACGAUUACGCAUUUACAAUCUUAUUGGAAAGAAUGGCUGAUGUAACAAACAUGUCUGACCAUGAGUCGAACCAGAAUGACCUGGUCACCACAUAGAAGUGAAGAUGGGAAUCGUAUAUCAUUCUGGUUCGACUCAUAGUCACAUUUGGGGCGCGUCUCCUUAAUAGGACCUAAAAAUUGUAUCCACAUGGGAAUAAGGACAAAGCAUCGGCUCACUGAUCUGUUUAAUACAAUAGAGAGAAUGCGUUGAGGCACAAUGAGCAAAGAGAACUGUGGGUAAUGUAAACUUAAAUCGAAGUCAAAUUAAACUUCAGGUGGAUCUAUUGGUAUAUGAUAGUUUCGAAGGGGAAAUAAGUCGUUUUCUCAAAAGGUUUUGCUUUCUGAAACCAAACCAGCGUUUUAGUUUAAUUGAUCUACUCUUCGUCAUAACCUAAUAUCAAAACAGCGUCAAUGAAGGACGAAUUUGGAUCCACUGAGAACAUGAGAGCAUAUGCAAUGGUGGACUCUUUCUUGGAGUUCUUACCAUUAUUUUAGUUUUUUUUUUUGUUUGAAUAGUUAAUGAUUCUAGUAAAAAUGGUGUGUUCAAUAGUGAUCUCUGAUUAGGAAUCCUUACAUAGAUAUAUAUAUUUCCCUCUAUCCAAUGAGACGCGGCCACGUCACUAAGGACUUAAUCCUUAAACUCCUUGUCUAAAGGAUUGCUCCUUACCGAAUUGGACUUUGAUAAUAUUACUAGGGUCGGCCCGCCCUACGGGCGGGAUGAGAAUUAAAAAAAUAAUUAAAAUAGUUAGACUAUAUAUAUUAUAUAAAUUGUUAUUAUAUAAGAAAUAGGGUCAGUCAUGUGUUCUAUGUAAUUAUAUAAUUGUAUACUUUCGUUGUAUUUUGUUCGUUUUUGCAAAAGCAGUGUAUUUUUUUGACAUUAUGGUCUUAAAUGGUUUUAGGGUUUGUAGGGAUUAUGUUUGAGGUGUAUGUGGACUUUCUUAUUGUAUUUUUUUUAUAGUUAGUAGUCCAUAAUUUGUUGGUGAAUUGUGUGUUUCUAUAAUUUGGACUCUUAUGUGUGUGGGCGUGUAUAUUAUGUCACUCAGCUCAACACCUACAAACUUAUUUGAAGUAUCUUAGGUUCCAAGUAAAGUGUGCAUUACGGUUUUUGAGAAGAUUGUUCAUUGCUGUUUUAAAGGAGAUAAAGUUAUAACUAUUAAUUUGAAGCAUAAGGACAACACAUGUAAGCGAGGAGAAUUUAUUCAUUGAAAUGAGAAUGUAACAUUUGGUGUGAAAGUAUAAAAAUAGAAAACCGAUUUUGAAAACUAUGCUAAACGGAAUGUAGUACUUAUAGUUCUUAUGGGUCCGAAAUUAAGAAAACAAUGAAGAACAUUUAUGAUUAAUUUAUGGUUAGUUUAAUAAAAAACUUAUUAUAUAUUUAUAUGGACCAACAUAUUUUUCUAAGGAUUCUAAGAAUGAUUGUGGUGAUGACAUGUGGCUACAAAAAUAUGUUGUAAUGCUUCUCUUUUAAUAUAUAGGGGAUAACUGUUCUUUUGAAUAUUGUUUUUUUUUAAUUGUAUUUUUUGAUUAAAUUAUUGUAUUAUAAUUUUUAUGUAAAUAUUUUUUGUGAUGUUUGAAUUUGUGAUAUUCGUAUACUUAACCUAGAUGAUAUUGAUGUUUAACAAUUUAUUGUUUUCUGGAAAUAGAAAAUAAUGAUAUAUCAAAACGUAUCUUAUGUAAAUUACAUCCAUUAUUUGAAAAUAACAAUUUAUUGUUUUUAUUUUUUUAAAAUCAGAAAUUAUAUUUAUUUUAAAAAUUAUUCAUAUAUAAUAUAAUAGUUAAAGUUUGGAACAUUAAUAUAUAUAUAAAUUAUGUAUAUUUUAAAAAAAAAAAUUUAAGAUAUUAUAUAUUGAGUAACUGAAUAAAAACUGAAUUUCUUAUCUUGAAAAUCAAAUAUUUAUAUUUUGUCUUCAUGUUAUACACACCAAUCCAUCAUUGAUAUUUAUAACUCAGUAUGUUUUUAAAAAAAAAACUUAGUUUUAAGAAAUAAAUGAAUUUAGUAAAUUAAAUUCAUCACCUAUAAUGUUCUGUAAACUAUAUUUGAAAACUCUCUAAAAUUAUAUUUUAAGCAUAACAUUACUAUUAUUUAAUUUAAGUUAUUUUAAGCAUAAUAUAUGCUAAACCAAUUUAAAUUAUAUUUACAAUAGGACUAUCCUAAACCGGUUAAUAAACCAAAAACAAUACUAAACCAACAUGAACCAAUACCUGAUUCGGUGAGGAAGGAAGUGUUUCGGGAUAAACGCUUUAAUGGUUAUUAACUGUAAUAGUUUGAUCAUGAAAGAGUUACUAUGAAUAUUAACAAUAAAAUUAUGGAUUAGAUUAAUUAAAUUUGUAAGAAUACCUUUGAGUCUAUGAAAAGCAAUUCAAUUCCCAUAAAUAAGUUUGGCUUUUGAAAGUUGCGGGUUUCCCAACAAUGAAUCCACCUAACAAAAAGUUUGUUGUUAUAAAAAAUCUCAUUCAAGGUCAUUAAAGGUUUUUGGGACGGCAAAAGUUGAUGGUGGAACCAUUUUUUUGCUCGAGUGCUUUGAAGUUUUCCUUGAUAGGGUGAGGUUGAUGGAAUAAUGAGUUUUAUAAAGAUUUUCUUGAUGUAAAACUAUAAAUUUUUGUUUUUUUUUGUUUAAUGUGGUAUUUCAAUUUUUAUAUAAUUUACUACCAUUUUAAGAGAUAUGUACAUUUUAAGAUAGAUGUUUAAAUCUUAAUGUAUUUUUUCCAUUUUUUAAAAUGUUUAUUUCCAUUUCUUAUAUUUUUAUUUACGUAAUAUCUAUAUUUUAUAUUUAAAAAUAUAUAUUUAAAUCUUAAUGUACUUUUUCCAUUUUUUUUAAAUUGUGUAUUUACUUAUAUUAUAUAUUUUACAUUUUAAGAUAGAUGUUUAAUGCUUAAUGAACUUUUUCCAUUUUUAAAAAAAAAUGGUGUAUUUACUUAUUAUUAUAUAUAUAAUUCAUAUAUUAUAUAUUUACAUAACGGGUGUGUUUCAAAAAAAAAAAAAAAAAAAAAAAAAAAAAGAAACUACAACAACAAUAAUACGGAUAGAGGUGUUAAAGGGCUGAAGAUACCCAUAGAAAUGCUUUAGUUGAAACUGAUGUUCCCAGUACUGAUAUUGGGAUAUGAGCCGACAAAAGAGGACUCUAAUGAACGGGUUCGAAGACGGUUGGUAUCUCCUUUGCUUCAAUGAUUAGAUUCUCUCCGUUGAUCAAAUAUUAGUUUAUCAACAAAAAAUAUAUGUCCGUCACUCAAAUGUUGGAAAAUGAUCCGCAGUUUAGUAACGAAAAAUCAAAUGAUCUAUUCCUCAGGUUGUAGAAUGAUAAGGCCCUUCAAACUAAUUUAGCAAAAUGAAACUAACUAUAAUGUGCCAACGGUAUUAUAAUUUGUAAUCAUUUUUCUGCUAUUCUGUUCAAACUAUAUCCACGAGUUGAAGCCUAUAUAUGCUCAAUAAAUAAUACUAUUAGCAAGGCUUGAAAAGGUAUCAUUUUGGCAAAUUAUAAUUGGUCUAAUUGAAUUUUAGCAAUAUAUUUUUUGUCUGAGUUUAAGCUAUCGCACAAACAUACUUUCCGUCAUUAAAUCUUCUGAUGGAUUGCUACAAUGAUAGUCUUAAACAGCUAUAUAUGGAUUUGACAAAUAACCCGUUCUUAGUCAAAUGCAUUAAGAUCAUUCCAACUGUUGAUAUAGACAAACUCAUCUUUAAAUUCAAUAUAUACCACAUAGUAAGCAAAAAUAUAAAGUUUAAAUAUAUAUGUGUAAAUUUGUUAUUACAAAUCAAGAAUCACACCAACAGUAGUAGAAUCCCUACUUGAAUCCUUAUUCAAAUGGAAAUGAAAAUGCAUAUAUAUAUGAAUACUUGUGUGUAUAUAUAGAACCCUAGAUAUCUUCAUAUAAGUGUUUCUUGAAGGCCUCCAUGUGAGCUACCUGUAGACACGUGGCGAGAAUCAGCGAGCCGUCAUCAUUUUUAUCAGGUAGUAGCAGAGAGCCCCCGUCGCCGUCAUGCGUGCAUGGUCCCAUGUGGACCUCCUUUCCCCACCCGAAAUCAAGGCCGUACAUUGGUAGAGUUAACCAGCUCACAAGUCCAAGAUUAGGGUUUCCGUAGAAUGGACCGUCCGUGCUGCCCAACGCAUGUAUAUCUUGAAACGUCUUCAGAUCCUCAUGGUUUUUUAGAUACUCUAUUCCAGUCAUUACGUAUUCGUUUGUCACACUCUUUAUGGCUUCACUAAUUUUUUCGGCCGCGAAACCCAACCCAUUCGAUAUGAGUUCACCUAUAUAAGAAAAUUUAUCGAAAUAUAGAAAUCGCAUUGUAUGAUAUCCCUAAAUACCUAUUAGUGUGAAAUUAGUUAGCUACAUUAAACUCCCAGAAUCGGGGGGAAAUAAGACUGGUCUGACUAAACGUGCAUGAUAAGCUACCAAGAGUUCUUUCAUCUAUAUUUGAAUUCCUAUUGUAAAUGUUCAAGAAGUAUAUUCUUUCUAAUGCUAGCUUACAUAUCCGAUUGAAAAUAUUUUUAACUGACUGCGAUUAGAUUGAUUGAGAUGGUGAUGUAUUAUUGUUUAGGCCAACUCCAAUAAUACUAAAAAACCAAAUUAGUGUAAUUUUUUUAAUUGUAAACUAAAAGGAUUAAACCCGGGUCUAUUAAAGACAUAAAUCUAAUCUCCGGGUGGAGGUACAAUCCACAGAUAGACUCUCUCCUGGAUAUUCAAAUGAUCCGAAAGCAAUAGUCCAUAUCUGUGUGGCCAACGGGGUUUCGCUAUAUUGGGUUUAUUUCUCUCAAGCGAAUUAGUGCAAUUUUACUCUCACGAAAUUAUAUAGAUAAAGUCGUAUCACUAAAUUUGAUAUUUUGUGAAUAGUAUUACACCAAACUUGGUGAACAAUAUUCAUUGCACCAAACAAUUAAAUAAUAUAUUUUAUUUUUAUUUAAUAAGAAAUUAAAUUAAUGUUAUUAAUUAGUUUAAAAUAUUAAAAGUAAUAUAUUUGUAUUUUCAUAUAUUUUCUCAACACUGAAUCUUAAAUUAUAUUUUUAUUUAAUAAUAUUGGUAAAUUACUACAUUAAAUAGUUAAAUUUUGUAACAAAAAUAACUAUAAUAUAUUGUUUUGUAUUUUCCUUUUCAAUAAUAUGAUAUAAAUAUCAAAGUAUUUAAAUAAUUAAAAUUUAUUUCUAGAACAAAUCUCAGCAAAAACAAAAACAAAAACAAAAUAGCAGCAGAAAAAAUAGAUUAAACAACUUUUAAAAUUUGACAAAACGUACCUGAGGUGCUUCUUGCGACCGCAUUAAUAGUGGCAUUGCCAAAGUAGCCGCGUGGUAGAGGUGGCUGCACCCGACUACGAGUAUCUACACAGAUUCCCAAAGACGUGGGUUGUUCUGGGGAGUGCCCACGUGCUUUAGACGCGCACCUCCACACAUGUCCCGCGACCGUCUCGUACCUUGUAAACCCUCUAGCUGGGUCAGCGUAUUCACUUGUAUUCACUCUGCUUCUAAGCUUCUCAAUCAAAGUUUUGCUAAGUUUUAGUAUCUCUACAGUUGUUUUCUUCUUUCUUUCUUCUACAUUGUCCGUUUCUCCGAUCAGCAACGGUGGCUGUUCAAACCCUUUGCGUUCGCACUGAGGUGGGGAGGCAAACGGCGGAAGCGGUUUACCAGUCCAGAGGAUUUUGCGGUCGAGAAAUGGAGUGGUUUCAAGAGGUUCCCCGCGAGCGAUUCUUCCCCAUUCAGACAAGAAGUGAAACGCGCUCUGUCCAUCGACCACCGCGUGUGAAAUGCUGACGCCGAGGCUUAUUCCGCCGCAUUUAAAUCUGGUGACCUGAGCUAAGAAGAGAGGGAUCGUUUCAAUAGGGUGUUUGUAGUUUACUUGCGGAACAAGUUUCUCAAAUUCUGGCGUUGGAGAGAAAUCGUUGAAAUCUGAAAGUUUUGCCUCGGACUCGGCUUCCAUGAAUGACACUCCCUCCGCGUUACAAUCAAGCUCUAACCGCCCCCGAGGGAGCCACUUAAGACGGCCGGCCAUAGGGUAGAAGUGAAAAAGCGCACGGCUCAACGAGUUUCUUAGGGUUUCGACUACAUUGCCCUGGAACAAUUCAGAUGGCUUGUUAUAGAAGUAAACGGUAGGAACGUGAGUUAUUGUACCAACUAGAUCCCAUUCGGCUAAUGGAAAACAACCGGCCCAUGUAGGUUCAGAGGGUACGAUGGUAUAAAUAUUUCUUAGGAUGAUAGGAGCCAUAUCAUAAACCAGUUUUCUUUUUGAGUUUCGUCGACGUAAAGUAGUAUUUAUAUAAUAUAU